UUGAAUUCAAACCAUUAACAUACAUAGUUACAUACAUACAUACAUUCAUACACACACACAUGAUUAUUAUUAUCUUUCACAACAUUAUAAUCAUUUAGAGUUCACAUAACGACAAUCCUUCCUUAUCUCCCCUUGGUCACCGGUGAGAGGGUUGGUCUCGGACAAGAGCCUGACACCGCGUGAGAAUUGUUCAUGGAAGUAACCAUUGUCCGCAGCCAUCUUGGCCACAAAAGGUGCCGUCCUCGGGUCGCUGGCUAGCUCAUCAUCGAUGACAAGGAGCCCUUUAUGAGCCAUGAUGUUCUUGUAAUACAUAUUGUCCACAACCAUGGGAGUCUCACGGUCAUUACGGGAAUAUAAGACUGCGUUCGGAUCCGGGUUUGGACUUGGGCAACGAUUUUUCAAGUAAAGGGCGUAAUCUGGGUCUAGAGUCGGGUCAAUCGUUGGGUAUAGCCGGUGCACUAGAUUAACGCAAUGGACCCUACCAACGGAGUGAGCACCUACGAUAAUAUAAGUUGACUGAUGAGUAAUAGUGACAGUCAUUUUUUGUAAAACUCAUUUCUUUUCUAAAAUCGUGAAAAAAAACAAAAACCAAAAUAUUCAUCCUGGUAGUGUUAGUUACCAUGCCCUGAAAAGUUUGUGUUGUUUUAUUCACAUAGCAAUAGCUUAACAUUUUACAAAGAUUAUAUUCUAAUCAGAUAAUGACUUAAACUAAUUACAUCAUUAUCUCAUUCUAAAUAGUAGUUAUCUUAAUAUUUCCGGCUCAAAUCUAUUGGUCUGUGCAGUUAAAAGAUGGUUACUACUCAGAUUUGCUAUAAGGAAUUAAAAGUUGUUACCUAAUAGAGCAACGGUUGCUUCAACAUCGAUGCCCAUGGAGUUAAAGUUUGAGAGAACAGAGGAGAGGGAGUCAUUGUGGUUAGGAACUAGAGUCUCAACAUCACUCAAGUAACUUCCUCUACUGUCUCUCCUUCCUGUCUUGAUCAUAUCUAUCUUUGGCCCUUUCAACUAUUCAUUUCAACCAAAAAACAGCACCACAAUUAUAAAAACAAUUCCAAACUAAUUAACUUAACCUUAAAAUGCAUAUAGGUAAUAUAUCUAUACGUACCAUGACAAUACCAUCUCUAGCAGAGAGAGCAACAAUAUCAGCGCAAGAGACUGUGGAAGGGCAUUCUUUCUCAAGUGCGUCUUUGAUAACCUUAACGUACUUAAAGUUUCUCAUACCAAAACUCCUCGUUGACUUUUGCUCAGACUCCACACCUCUCGCUGUCUCUAGUAGCAGUGACGCAUCACACGACUACAAAGAGAAGACAUGAACAUAAAUAAAUCGUGUUUUGAAAUUAUAUUAUGAAUAGAUAAAACAGUUAACUACCUUGACGACGCAGUCAUGGAAAAGAUUACGGAGCCAAGAUACGGCUGUGUUACCGUGUUUGUAGUAAAGCGUCUCCACUUGUUGUCUGAUUAUCUCUUCCGCUCUAGGACAACUCUCUCUGUAAUAAUUCAUCUCCAGUUCCGCAUUCCCUACAAUUUUAUCAAAAAUCUAUAAAUUAUUCGUUUUCUCUACAUGCGUGUUAGCGAUUCUAUCAUUAUAAAAAGAAAAUAUUUGUUGAAUUUUUACGGUGGAAAUUAAAUGACUAAAAAUGUGAUAUUUGUGAGGCUUUUUUUUUUAAACCACAGAGAGGCAUAAUGUAAUUAGAGCAAUGAGGAAUAUUAUUACCGAUAUGGAAGAUGGAAAAUAACUGUAAUAACAGACAAAAGAAGGCCAAAAGACAGAAGGGCAUCUUCGCAUUCGCCAUCUCUCUCUCUUUUCUUUUUCUACUUUGUUGAUUGGUGAUUUGGUGUGUCUCUUUUAUGUGUACCAAAGUAGGGUUAUAUAGAGAGUUCAAGGGACUUGAGUGUAUUAUAUAAUUAUUUUUAUUUAUUAGCCAUAGUGGUUGCCCAUAUUAAUUAUUCACUUUUAAUUAUCGGUGGUUUCUUAAUUAUAAAUUAUAAACACAUAUUAAUACUGAAAUUUAUAACCACUAGCUAUGUGAACUCAAUAGUUGUUGAACAUGUGAAUUCAGUGAGACUUGAUUUCCUUUUUUUUUUUUUGUCACAAUGAGACUUGAUUUCCUAUUUUAUCCUAUAAUCAUACAAAACUAAUUAGUUUGGCUUUUCACUUCUGUUCUAUUAUAAUACAAAACUAUCCUUUUCCUCUACUCAAUUUUUCAACCUUCAUUUUUUAAUUAGCCAUCCCCAUACAACUCCAUGCUCCACAAGCAAAGCAGAUAGAAAAGGAGGAGAUAUAAUAUGAAUUACGUACUAACUAAUUGAUUGAAUCGGAUUGAAAAAAAAAAUAGAAUAUUUACAUUAUUUUUUAAUGCUUGCGAUGAAUAUGAAUAUUGCACAUCACCGUCUAGAAUAUGACCAACUCUAUUAACUUACAACCAUGCUAAUCCCUAGGUGUAUACUAUAUGCUAUAUAUAGCCUAUUAUGUUAAAUUCGAAAGUUCAUUCACUAAUAAAAAAUUCUUGUUACCCUUCACUGCAAAAGCUUGUACGACCAUUUUUAUAGAUCCUCACAGCUUACUGACAUUUUACCUUCCAUGCGAAAUGUCAUUACCUAGUUGGAUUCAUAGUUCUCUUUAGAAACUUAUUGCUUCGUUUCUGCAGUUGUAACAAAAGUAGAACGAGAGAAAUGGACUAGCUAGUCACAACUAAGUAUAUGCAUGGCCCAUUAAUGUACUACAUCAUGGCAAAAUUAUUGGAUACAUAUUAGAUAAAAAUCUCUAAAGAUGGCCAAAAAUAUAAAAUUUUAAUUAUCUGUAACCAUUAAUUAACCAAAAUAUAAUUCAGAUAAAGUUAUAGACUCUACAGUAUAGUCUUAUAAUAUAUAUAGCAAUAAUUGAAAUAUAUUGUUGGAAAAUGGGGUUGAGGAUUAGAUAUUCGAUAGAGACAUUUGUGUAUGUUAGCAUUUUUUCCUCAAAUCGGUAAUGCAUGCAUACUUUUAAAAGAGAGUAGUUACUCUUCAAAUCUCGAGUUGGAUAUGGUCUCCGACUCGAUCGGUAAGCUUUUUGUGAGUCGGGCUGCAGCAUGAUUGUCAUUCCAUGGUCAAACUCUAACAUUAUGAGAAGUCUUCUCAAAUAUGAAAGAUGUUUUCGUAGAUGCUCACCGAUCACAUGAACAAGAACUUUACUAAAUCACUUGGAACUUUGGAAGAGUUUGAUUAUGAUUGAUGUCAUGAUAUUUAAGAUAUCUUUUAUUAAGAUACAUACAUCAUACAUACAAUAUAAUUUGUAUUCAAAAAAAUAAUAAAUGAUUAGUAUUCCGGUCUUUGGUCCAAGUGAUCUAUACGAGUUUUGAGCAUGUGUAGCCGUAAGCCGUUUUACGUCAUUUCGGACCGGAGCCGUGUUAACGUUUAUAAUUGUUAGAAUCGAAUUAUAAAAAUCUAUACAGUAAUACUGUAGAAGAAAACAUAUAAAGAAUUAAAUUAACAAAGAAAAUAUUAAUUACACAAUAAUAUUUUCUUAAAAAAUCUAAUCAAGUUUUAUCAUUAAAAUUUAUAAAUAACUUUUAGAUAAAAUAUUUAAAUUAGUCAAUGUAUUUUAUGCCUAUAACCAAGUAAGGUAAAAUUUAAUCAAAUUUUAAAAAAUAUAUUUCAAAAUUGCAUCCAACCUAUUAUCGCCAAUCAAUCUAAUUACUCUAUUUUCUUUAACAGUUAACGUUUGUCUACAUUUUUGUCACAUAGGCAAACUCAUGUUUUAUAAUUACUAGGGGUUGGCCCGCCCUUCGGGCGGGUGAGUUUACAAUAAAAAUUAUUUCAUAUUUCAAUAUGCUUUAACUUUAUAUAGCUUUUUAAAAUAUAUACAUAUAUUAAAUUUAAGAUUAUAUUGUAAAUUUUAUUAAAAUUUGUUGGUUCAAGUUGAAAGACCACUAAUGGAUUUUAGUAAACAUAGAAUUAUUAAAUAAAACAAAAAUAAGGAAAAUGUAAUGAUUUAUAUUGCCUCUUUUGACUUUUAUUUCACUUUUAUAUAGUUGAAGAAGAUCUAAAAAACUGAUACAUUUUUCUAAGAGUUUUAAAUUUUAAUAUUUUACUCUAAUUAAUUUCUCACGAUAUUAAUUAUUUCAUCUCCAACCUAAGUAAAUUGAAAAUAUUAUGUAAUAAAUUUUUUUUUAUUUUAUUUUAAAGUACUAUAUAAACAAUUUCAAUAAUUUCAUAGAUAAUUAAUAUAUCUAUUUGAGAACAAAUGAUGUUUCGUAAUAUAUGUUUGUUUCACUUUAUAUUAGAUUUUCAAUUUAUAAUGAAAUUUUAUUUAGUUAUAGGAUUUUAUUAAUUAUCUUUUGUAAUCAUUUUAGCAUUUGUUAAACUUUGUAUUAUAACAAAAUUAUUUGUUGGAAAUUUUGCUCAGGCUAUUUGGAAAUAUUUUUUUACAGAUUAAUAGUUUUAAAAAUUAAUAAAAUAUUACAGUUUUAACUGAAGUUUACUUGUGUUUCACACCACAUCAUAUCAAAUCAUUUACUUCGGAUAAGGUAAGAUGAACCAAAACGUAUUUUAACCAAAAUAACUUAAAUGUAGCGUGGAGACGAUCGUAGCGUUAAUUAAGUUGGUGUUGUGUUAAGUUAAGAGAAGUUGGAAACUGGUUGGAACAAUUUAAUUAGAGGUUAAUCAUACUUUUUAUAACUAAGAUCUAGUCCUAAUAUUUAGUAGGGCUGGGAGAGUUGAGAGACGCAGUCUCAAAAUCUCUAUUUUCUAUAACAUGUACCUUGUUUUUAGUUCUUUUUCUUUUUGCCAAGGUAAAUCUUAGUUUGUUUAAAAUUUUGUAAAGUUUCACAAACACUUUUUUUAUGGAAUUUCACGUAUAUGGCAAAAACAAUAUAUCUUUCGUAAUUUAAGAAUAUUAUGCAUAGUGACAUCUAUCUAUUCUAUUAAUUUAGAGUCAUGUUUUUAUUUACUUAAAAAGUUAUCAUUUAAGUUUUGGAGUUAUUCACAUAUAUUAGAAAAAAAUAUCUUUAAUGAUUUGGAUCUUUUAGAUAUUACACUUUUUGGAUCCAUUUAAAACAUAUUUCAUUAAAGAUUAUGUCCUUUGAUGAUUUGGACGUAAUAAUCAAACACAAUGAUAGAAUAAUUUAUACAUUUUACUAAUAUGUAUUAUUUGUUGUAUAUGUAUUAUUAUUUGUUGUAUAACAUAAUAUUUUUUUUAAUCUAAUUUCUUUUAUCGUAAAUUAACACUAAGUUGUAAAAUUCUAUUUCAAGUAUUUUUGUUCGUCUGAUGUUGUUGCCAUUGCUGUCAAAAACGGUACCUUCGCGUACAUCAGUCAUCUAUAUAUCCUUAAAGCUUAGCUAUAUUUAUUGAUCAUUUGCAUUUGUAUUAUGUAUAUCACUUAUUGUUAUGUUUUUGUAUGCGAGUUGUGAAUAAUUAUUAGAAGCAGACAUAAACAUUUGUAAUAUAUGAAAAGUGAAAACGAACAUAUCAUUUAAUUGCAUUGGAAAAAUACCCAAAUCUAAAUGAAUUCUUAAGUAUAGUAUAGAAGAAUAAUUAUUGUGAUGUAUUAGUUUUGAAUUUAUUUAGUAUGAAAUUCGUGCUCGAAAAAAUUACUUGUAAAAAUAACACUUGCUUAUUGUAGUUUUUUGUUAGUAAAACUUUCUAUUGAAUGUAGUAUUGAGAAAUAACAUGUGUCUGGUUCGAGACCAUUAACAAAUCUUGUGUGUUAUUUCUGAACCAGACACUUAAAAUACAUUUAAUAUUCAAGAUAACCAAAACUUCAUUUCACCGUCUUACUAACAUGUGUCUGGUUCGAGACCAUCAACAAAUCUUGUGUCUUGUGUUUUCAGUCGUUACCAAAAGAUCAUUUCCCAUCAAAUGCUUUGAAAAAAGUCUCCAGUACAGCACCCAAAACGUACCUAAACAAAGUGUAGUCAUUAGAAAGACUUGGACAUCAUGUGAAGCUUAACAGAGCACAAGAAAGCAACGAUUGUCACACUUAAGAACGUUCCCAUGAAAUUUUCCUUGAAAGGGCCCAGGAUUUAAGCUAACAAAGCUCCAUCAACUGCUUUGCCAAGAAAGAAGCAUUAUCCCGACCUCCCAGCCAAGAGCAGGAGAAAUGAGAUAAUAUGGUCCCCAACCCACCCCGACCAAGGAAGUCGUUACAAAAUAAUCUUGUAUCUCAGUUUUUGAAAACACUCAAAUUUGGUUAAAUUCUUUAGUUUACAUGUUGAGCAAUACAAAGGAUUGAAUUUCUUUUGUAUUAUUAUCAGAUGGCAUUAGCAAAAGAAUCAAACAUUUAUUGUUCCUAGUUAUACGUUUAUAACGCUAAGGUAGGUUAUUUGGUUACUGAAAAUUUUGCUGAGAAUAAAAAGAACAAAAGACUCUGGAUGAAUGCAACAAAAAAAAAAUGAAAGAAAGAAAUGUUCUCUAUCUAUCCAAAAGGUAGUCACUCUUGUUGUCUUGGAGUUGCUCUCGGAGCUUUUGUUACAUCAAAUUUGCUCAAACCACGGAUCAGUUUGAUGAUAUGAAGUUGUCUUUCUAUUCCGAUUGAGUUUGCUUCUUGUGGUUCUAGUAAACUACCAGUUCGUAGUUCGGGUCGAGAGCUUCAAUGGCCUGUAGAGAGAUUAUAACAUUGUGUAAAGAGUAAAGCUCCUUCAACAGGUUCUAUAGAAGAAGAGUUGGUCCUAAAUGUUUACCUGAAGCAGACUUCACACGCAGUGUAUAAUGGCUCUAGCGGAACCUGUAUGGAGAUAGUGAAGCCCUUUAGCGCAUAUCUCAAGCUUCUGUCUCCAGCUCAACCUAGGAUUAUCCGAGUCAUACAGAUGGUCUUUAAGCAUUCCUUUUUUCAUAUACUCAUACACAACGUUCAUCUUACUUUCCUCAUUGCAAUACCUGAUUAAAGAAACCAAAUGCAUGCGUCUGAACUGAGACAACAUUUUGAUCUAUGUCCUGAAUUUUUUUGAUGUAAAGCUAUAUGGAGCUGAUUACUAUUUCUGUGUUAAAAAAUUAAAAAAAAGAAGACAUUACAUUCUGUGGUUGAAGAUACUCACGGUCCAAAAAAGAUUGAUUCUGGUGAGAUACCAUGUAACAGAAAGCUUUCUUUCGUUGUUUGCUCUUUUAUCUCAGGGACACUGCACUCAAAACAAAAGAGAACAGUUCGAUCCAAUUAAUAUUUUUAAUAUAUUCAGUAUUUUAUCAGUGGAAGAGCAGAGAAGUUGGUUUCAAACCUUUGGAUAAGGCACCAACGAAAGUGAAAGAAAUUGUCGGUCAAGAAACGCACUAACAGAUGGGUUACGUGAAAGUGGUCACCUGUGGGGAGAUGUGAUAUAAGCAUUUAGCUCAGACAGUGUUAACGUUCCGAUCUUCUUAACACCACCAUAUUUUGUAGACGUUGAGGAUGAACCUUCCUACCGAGACCAACCUUGUGGUGACCAACUCUGUAUACGAUUUAUAACAUGAAGAAAUGUAAGUUAUUUGCAGAGUAACAAAGGUUAUAACUCCUUACUUUGUGAGAUAACUUUGGCUGGCAAUACUCUCAUGGUCAAAAAAGAAAUGUAUUCCUGGAGUAGCAUUUAGAAAAAAGUUGGCCUAAAAUAACAGAUGAGUGUUAGAAAUGGUUACCUCCAACUAAUUUAGGGUUGAUAUUGGUGGCUACAACAACCUUUGGUUCCACACCUGACAUUACUAAUUCCUCAUCGAUGAGCUCUGCGAGGUUGCCAAAUACACUUAUGCAUGCGGGUCCGUCCCUGCAAAGUUGAGCAUUCAGACAGUCGGACAUUAACAAUUAAAUGACAUUUUGCAACCCAUAGCCUCCACCUUUCCACAUAUGAAAAUAUCAAAAGAUACAGAGCAAAAUGAAUAAAAAUUAAUACCACAACACAAAGUUAUAGACUUUUAUCAUGACAUUCAUCACAUAAUAUAUUUUUUUUAAAAAGUUUGAUACAGAGAAACUAAGGGUUAAGAGAGAAUGUUUUCCUAUUCCAAACUUCUUCCUCUGUUCUGUACCAAAGACAAAUAAAGUUGUAUAUAUUAAAUUGGAUCCACAGUUCCUAAAAUUAGAUAUCUCAGAAUAGCAGGAAGCAGUCAACAACACAGAGAAUGAACAUUUUCCCUAACCACACACAGACUUAAUUAGUACUUCAGGGAAGCAUGUUAACUAAACCUGAAGAUGUAAUCUAGAUGUCAUGUAAACGACGUAAGGUCAGACGACAACAACCAAACCGCUAAGGGGAUCUAUGUGAAGCAAGUAAUGAGUUCAGGCUUCAGACAUGAGGCGUCAAGUGGAUUGGUAUCUCGGUCUAAGUGGUCCUUAUGCCCCGCACCUCCCCCAAUGAUAUCUGCAGAGAAACAUAAGGAUUAAUGGCAGAUUUUAGAGGAUGAAAUUAAUUAUAGGUCAGGUAAUGAAGUGUCUAACUGGCAAUUCAGUGUUUGUGUUAGCCAGUGACAAUAGCUGGUCGAAAUUUACAAAACCUGAAGCUCUUUGUUGGGCUAGGGUUAUUGCUAGCUGAGAUAUCGACGAAACUUGUUUGCUCUACGAAUCUGAUUGAAACAGGGGCAUCAGCGAAUCUGAAGUUUUGGAUGCUCCUGGUGACAUCAAAAACAGUUAGCUCAUAAAAGGAUCCUUGUUUGAGCAGGUGUUUGAAUCUAGAUGGUGAAGGAUUGAAAUAAAAUCAUGGAUUAAAGUAACUUAUAAGAGAUUAAAGAGAAUCAGAUAAUCUUCCCGUCAAUCAGAACCAUGUCAACACCUAUGAACUUACCCCUUUUCUCUGCAAUGACCUUCCUUCAAUUCUGAAAAUAGAAUCUGGAAAUUAACCAUUCAUUUUUGGAUCUUUUCUGGAGAACUCUUGAAAAAACGUUAGCAGACAGAAGAACUAUGAAACUCACUUGUGAAAUUGAUCGGAGAAAAGAGUCAUUUAAGAAGAGGUAAUGGGUUUCAUUGAUUCAACUCGACGUUACCUAGUAGAACCGAGGCGAAGAGGAAAAGGUACGGCUGAAUCUGAAGUGAUUGAGUUGCCACGUGGCGAAAAAAGCCCAUAUCUCCUAAAUGACGUGGCUGCAGGAGGUGAGAGAAAACUCUCCUUUAUAGUUAUAGAUAUUAUGAUGUUAUAGUAAUAGAUGAUGCCUUUGAUUUUGAAAAUUUUUUUGCUGCCAUAAGCGAAUGUUCUUUUUCUUUACACUGAGGCUGCACUGUUUCGGACAUGUUCUUGAUGCAAAAUUAAUGCGUUUAUCGAUGUUAAAAUGGGAUAUUUUGACGUCACUGAAUGUUCUAAUCAUCAUAUCAGCCGCUCAUCCGUCGACCACUUUAUCACUUAUGUAAUAACACACUCCACAAAACAUUUGGUGAAUUCGGUUUAUAUGCAUUGAUGGUGGCACUGAGAGUUUCUUUUUGCUGGACGUUUACGAGUCUAGACCUAUCUUAAUCAGCAACUUCAAAUCGGUUGCCACUAUUUCAACUUAGUAUUCAUAAAAAAAUUAUAAGGAAAAAAAAAUUAUAAGGAAAGAUAUCGUCUCAUUUUCUUAAUUUCUAGUUUGUCGUAUUAAGUUAAAAUUUUAAAUAUAUUUCAUCACAAUAUGCAUGUAGUACGAAAUUUUUAUAAUGCAAUUUACUAAAACACUGCUUUUCCAGAGCAGUAUAAAAAAAGUUCAUACGUAUUAUUUCAGAAAAUUUGUAACUACAAGAAUCUAAGUUUUUUUGUUUGUUUAAAAUAUCUUGCAUUAAUAAUACUUCUGUUUUAGAUUGGUAUCGUAAUUCGUUUUGCAAUGAUAAACACUUCAUUAGUUUUAUAAUGCAUUUUUAAAAGUAUACUCAUAGUUUACUUAACUUGAAAGCAUACAAUAUUUUUUUCGAAGAUUCCUUGGUGUAUUAUGAAUGAAUUAAUUGAAAGCCAUUAAGUUUGACAUUUUAGGCACUUGCGUAAUCGCAUGCGCAUUUGCAAACCACUAAUAAAAACCAAGGAUCCCACUUACUUGACCAAUGGCGGCUGUAAUACUCUCGUCUUUUUACCGUCCAAUCCAUUCACUUCCACACAUAAUGCUUUGUUGCCGAUGCUUCACUUAUCUUCAACACUCAUUAUGUAUAUGAUCCCCCACCCCAGUUUUUCUCUACAUCUAAAAGUAUAUGUGUUUUUUUUUCUGGAUGAUUAUGAGAGUACUGAUCCUCUUUCACCAAUAACAAUGUAUUUACUUUCUAAGAUUCCGAGCGUUUUGUUUAGUUUACUUUGUAAAUAGGUAAUAAAAGUAUAAAACUAAUGAUUUUUGUUUUUAAAUACAAAGUUUUGUUUAGAAAGAUUGAAAUGCAAUAUUCUUGCAAUGAAUCUUGAUCAUAUAUUUGGAAUAGUGAAAGCGGCCGUGGAAUAAAGUUUGAUGAAUGACAAAAAUAGAACACAAAUUGCUAACUGACAUGUUAAAUUAUAUCUAAACGAGAAAGAUUAUAAUCAUUUCCCUAGGUUUCAACGUAAGUACUCUCUCCGUUCUUAAAUGUAAGAUAUUUAGAAUAGUUUUUAUGUUCCAUUAUAUAAGAUAUUUUCGUAAUUCUAAAUAACUUUAAUUUUAUCAAAAUUUGUGUAACCGAUCAAAUUUAAUAAUUUUAUUUUGUAAUUGGUUAAAUAGUUUUAAAUUUAUAACUUUAAUAAUACUUUUAAAAUAAAAAAUAGUUUUUUUAAUAAGUGUAUUUUAUGUAAAACAUCUUAUAUUUAUGAACAAAGAGUAUAUGAUAACUGAUACCACAAACACAUGUCCAUUGUUGUUUCUGAUAUCAAAAUAUAGGAUCGGUCUUGAGAUUUAUGAAACAUGAAAAAACUACGGUAUAAAAACUGAAUGAUCCUUACAUAUAUAUGUCUGGAUAAUUUAGAAAUUUAAUGAUCCAUAUAUAUAUUAUUAUUAUUAAUCUGCGGUACUAUCUUAGACAUGUAAAAAGAGUUCAGUAAGGGGAGAUGCACUUCAUAGAUUGACCAUUUACCUGGAUAUUCAAAUGAAGCCAAAAUCAUGGUCUUAUAUUCAUGUGGGCACAAGAUGAAGUGUAAUAGAGUGUUUUUAAACCAUGGUUGCUUAGGCACUUAAAACCACAUACUGAUAAAAUUCAAAGUCCGUAUACCAAUAAACCACCUUGAACCACAUCGUGGUGGUCUAGUGGUUUUUACUAGAGGAGGAGUUGUUCUGUUGGUCCAGGCCAGAGAUCGAUUUCUCUCUAGUGCGAAAUUAUUAGCUCCACAUGUGACCACGCGGAUAUGGACCCAUGCUUACGGUCCAUUUGAAUACCCGGAAGAGGAUCCAUCCGUGGGUUGCACCUCCCACCCGUGGGUUGCACCUCCCACCCGGGGGUUAGGUCUGUAUCUUUAAUAGAUCCGGAUUUAACCUUUUUAUUUUCAAAAAAAAAAAAAAAUAAACCACCUUGUGAUUUUAUACACAUAUAUUAGGCACUUAAAAUUUAAAGAUUUAAACGAACGUUUUAUCAAGUCUUCCCUAAAACCGAAGAGAAACAUUUGAUCAUUAGUAAAUCGUUGAUGACAACUAUGAACGCAGAAACACGACCUGCGGACCUGAAUUUCUUAGUUCAAUGUUGUAAUGCUUCUAAGAUGCAAAUAUGGAAUUACUCUCACAUAUCUCUUCUAAAUAGAAUGAAAAGGAAACUGCGUUACUUGUUCUUAGAAAUAUGGACCAACCUUGCUUCUCUCCCGGAAAAUUGCUCGACACAGCAAGCGUGUCGGAUAAUAAUUCUUGAUUUCCUGUCGUUUCGUUCGAAACAAAUCAAUAUAUUCGUUAAUAUGUUAGUGUAUUAUUGGCCUUAUUGCUACAUAAUAAUUUAUAUUUUUUGAAAAUGAAUGCGACUUAUGUGAGUUGACCUAAUGAAUAUCUCUAGGAAAGCCUUAUCCCUAACAUUAAAUUUUUAUUAUACCCUUAUUAUUUGUAUUUUAGUUUUUUAAUCUGCUUAAUUAAGUUUACAUUAUAGCUAGUAUCCUAAGUUACGAAUAUCUCUAAGGCCCUAUGCACUACCUAAAUCAGCGAGUACCAUUAGUUAUGAACAUGGUGAGCUGUGAUGAUUAAUGCCGUAGAACCUGAAUACUAUGAUUAGACACAACUUUGAAAGUAACUUGAUCUUGUACCAAAAGUUCUUUUAGCUUCAGUUUAUAUUUUUAUACAAAUUUCUUUAAAAUCUGAAGUUCAAUUUUAAAUUAGAAUCCUCUUAAAAUGGAGUUCAAUUCUAUCAUCGAAAUCAAAUAUCAUGUUGACUUUAUAAAUAAAUGAUAACGAUUUUAAAACAUCUAGAAAAAUCAUAUAUCUGAUAUUGUAAACUGAAGCAAAAGUUUUUAUUUCUUACCUAUUUUAAGUCUGAUGUGGUAGUUGAUUUAGACUUAUACAAGCAAUAGCACCCCUUAGUGGUCUAUUUUUAAAUACCAGUCUAUGCUAUGCUUGCUUUCAAUAAACACUAUAAAACGAAAUGGUUGAACGUGGCCAAGGAAACUCAAAACUGCUAAGCUGAAUUUGUUUUAUGAUAUCUUAGUAGUAAGUUCUGAACUACUGUCUUAGCAAAACUGUAUAGUUAACUGAUGGUUGGAAAAUGAAAGAUGUGACUUACAGAACUGGAGAAGAGCUUACCAAUCCUCAGGGGAAAGUCAAGGAUCACCUCUUUGUCAUAAAGAAGAUUUCCCUUCUAUUUACAACCGUCACUAUGACAACUUAUGUUUUUGUUUUUCUUUAAAAAAAAAACAUGCACACAGAAAAUAUAACCAUAAAGUAAAGGAGGUAAACUAAUAAUCUAAAUACAGUUUAUUAUGGGUUCUUAGAAGAAGCAUCUGGUAUAGCAGGGGCUUUGCAAAUAGGGCAAGAGUUCUUCAUAGACAGCCAUUUCUUGAUGCACCCACCAUGGUAGUCAUGACCACACCCUUUAAGCUCUCCUAACUCUUCUCCUUCCACGUACUCCUCCUAAUUAUUACCAUUACCAACAUCACACCAUUAGCCUAUCUUUUAACUUCAUAUAACCUUCCACUUUCACAUAAAAAUGAUUUAGAAGAAGCAAUCUUUACCAGGCAGAUUGCACAUUUUCUUUGCUCAUCCGUUUGAUACAAAGGGUAAUAUGCGGUCUCUGACAAGCAACUGGAGAUUGCGUUGUUGGAUAGACCAGUGUUGACACUCCCAAUCCUUUCUCCCAGCGCAAGAAGCUCCUGAAGUGUGUCAAUCAUUUUAGAUAUAAAUAUCAGUUGCAAGACUUCUAACUAUGUAAGGCUUACAAAGAAUUAAGUGUGUUGUAAAAUUAACCUCGUAGGUCAUGUCAUCUAUGUCCAGCCUCAUGUCUCUGUGGUGAUCAAGCAUAUUUCUGGAUCCAUGCUGCAGAUGGUGAUCUACAACCAUAAAUCCCUGCAUCAAAAUAAAAAAAUAUUGAGAGGCUGGUCCCAUCACUUGCUACUAGAUAUGCACUAUAUCACAUUGGCUUGAGCUUCGAAGCUUAAGUUAUUAUUGGUAAGUUGUACAGAAAAGGAUAACCAGACCUGAGAUGAAAACCGUUCAUGGAGAGCAGCUUCAUCGAAAGGAGGCUGAAACCUCUCAUAAGAACUCCUGCGUCUCCCUGGACGACCACUGCUACGCCAUGAAAUGUGUGGUGGUGGCCUUAGAUGCCUAGAAGGGUAUGUCUCAUUAACAAAAUGAGACCUGUCUGAAGAAGAAGAUGCUACAUGUCCCAACCGCAAACCGUUUGAUGAAGCUCUAUAGGUAGGUGUUGACCUAUGAGAGAAGCGGGAGCUGCUUGCAGAUUGCGUUGAAGUUCCAGGGAAACAGUGUGAAGCUGCAGAGUUUCUGUUUCCGGUUAUCCCCUGGUGAUAGCCAGAGGUAUCACCAGAUGUGUUGUUGACAACACUUCUCGCAGGAAGAAAAUUACUUGUCUCUGGACUAAAGCCAUUUAUACCUCCAGGAACUGGAGAGAGUCUAGGAUAGUUCCACUCCUUAUCUCUGUGAGAUGCCUGACCAGGAAACUGACCUGAACUAGGAUGCUCAACAUUGUGGUGUGUAGGAUGUGAAUCAAGGCCCGUCUCUAAAUCAAGUGUAGGACGGCUCCGGACAUUCCUUGAAGAACUCUCUCCUCGGAUAGAGAGAUUAUUACUUCUGUGAGUUGGGUCCAUGAGCCACGGCAUGUAAUGAGGAUCAUGAUCAUGAGUUAUUGAUUUUCCCAUGUGCAACUCCGAGGGGAAAUGCAUGUCUGAGGAAGCUAUGUCACCGUGGUACUGGCUUGAGCUACCCAUUUCAUAGAUGGAAGAAUCAUAUGGGGCUUUCCGCUUCAGUGAUCCUCUCAUAUUUUCCAUAGGUAGAUCAGAAUAGCUAUCAUUUGACCAUGUAUGGCUGUUGCAGUUCGAAGAAGAUGCAGAUGUCACAUAAGUUUCAUGCGGAGCAGAGAAAGUCGCAACUGCUGAGCUCAUGAAAGGAACAUGGGAUGGGCCCGAAGUGCCUGGAUUGUAGUGUGGCCUCUCCACACCAUGAACUGGAGCAGUGUAGGCACUUGGUCCUAUAGAAGAGUUCCAAUGUGAAGAAACUGGCACUCCUUCACUCAACAAGUUUUCUGCUAGAUAAGCAUGCGGUCUGUUGUUCUCACUGGUCCCAGAUCUUUCUGAGAAAACGUGGACAUAUUAAUAAUAACAUAAGAUCAGAAAUUUCAUGCACAGGGAAAAGGUAAAGGAUAUAUAUAUGUGAUGGUUAUAACAUGUUGCCUCCUAAUUCUCACUACCUAGUGAAGCCGAAUCUACCCAUGAGGGAGAACCACAUGGAACUUCUUAACCUAAACAUAAGCAUGCAUCAUCAACUCAAUAUCUCUUCCAAAAGUUGAGUCUAUAAAUGGAGAACGAGGUUCAAAGAUAGAAAUUCGAAACAGAGUAAAGAUCUAAUAUGAAUGUACGAAUAGUUACCUAGACUCGUAUAUGGAUGCUCUGGGUGCAUAUGAUUCCAGCCUUGAUCAUGUUCAUCAUCAUCAAAAAAUUGGGAUGAACCAGGAAAAUGUCUGUGCCCCAUGGCUGAUUACACAAAGCUUCAACCUGCACAGAAAAUCAUCUCAAUAUUUAAAUUUAUCUACAAAAACAUUUGCAAGCUCAGAAAUGUUUUUUUUUUCUUUUAAUUACUAAGCAAACUCAAUAGUUCAUUUACAUAUAAUAACAUACACGUAUUGAAGUUGAAGAGCAUCAAAAGAACAAUAAAUAUAUAAAUCAUUUUGAUGUGAUCAUUUCACCUUCUAUCAACACAUACCAACCAACGAUGAUGACUUGUACAUUCAAAACAAAGUAAGAUCGAUCGCAGGAAAAGUCACCGAUGGAAAAGCAAACAGAUGAUCGGUGACGAGAUGUUAAAAAAGAAAAAAGACAUAUUGAUUAAUUGCAAUCGCCUCAGCAUAUAGAUACACACAAACCGUUAUACGAACACGAAACCUCAGCUCAAACAAAGGAUCGGAUAAGAGAGAAACAUACCACAGAGCGCGCGCGCGGCGAUGGAGGAAGGAGGAGACUGAUCGUCGGAGGAGGAAUGGAUUCGUACAGAUGACGCAGCUUCUUAGAAAAGAAAAGGAGAGGUUUUUGAGAGAAAAAAGUUGCUUCCUUUUUUUUCUUUUUAUUUGUUGCAAUGGAAGAGGAAGAGGAUCGGUUUUUAUAUUUAAAAAAGAGAGAAAAGCAAAUAAUCAUCAUCAAAGGAAAAAUUAGGACGAAACAUGCGAUUAAUAGCGGCGGUUGUGCACGUUGCCGGGAAAUUUAGACCACUUUCACCGGCUACCGGUGGAACCCGUUCAAUGUUCUUUUACCGACUAAACCCAUUUAUUAUGUGUCCCUGACUCGUGAUUAUUCCCUGUUAUUAUAGGUUUGCAUUUUUCAAAUUUCAAACCUUUCACGACUGGUCGAAGCUGAUGAAGAAACCUUCUUUUUUCUUUUUGUUACUUGAUAAUGGGCCUAUUUUGGACUAUAUAUGGGCCUCGACUGGAUAUUUACCAGUCGAAGGAGUAGACCGAUCGAAGGAGGAGGAAGCAAAGGAGAGGAAUGGAUUCGUACAGAUGACGCAGCUUCUUAGAAAAGAAAAGGAGAGGUUUUUGAGAGAAAAAAGUUGCUUCCUUUUUUUUCUUUUUAUUUGUUGCAAUGGAAGAGGAAGAGGAUCGGUUUUUAUAUUUAAAAAAGAGAGAAAAGCAAAUAAUCAUAUCAUCAAAGGAAAAAUUAGGACGAAACAUGCGAUUAAUAGCGGCGGUUGUGCACGUUGCCGGGAAAUUUAGACCAUUUUCACCGGCUACCGGUGGAACCCGUUCAAUGUUCUUUUGCCGACUACACCCAUUUAUUAUGUGUCCCUGACUCGUGAUUAGGCAUAUUCCCUGUUAUUAUGGGUUGCAUUUUUCAAAUUUCAAACCUUUCACGACAGGUCGAAGCUGAUGAAGAAACCUUUUUUUUUUCUUUUCUUUUGGUUACUUGAUAAUGGGCCUAUUUUAGAUGGGCCUCGACUGGAUUUACCAACAAACUUGUGUGUCCAUCUUAUUAUAUACUUUAUGAUUUGUUAUUUCAGAAGAUGACCUUUGUACGUAUAUUCAAGAAAAGUGACGCAUUGUUUCGGAUACCGUUCCGUUUGGAUCGAGUAUUUCGGAUUUCGGAUAUUUUAUUAUAAAAGUUUAGAACCUGUUAAUUUUAUAUACCGGGCCGGAUUCGAAUAUCCCUAUUUCGGGUUUGGGUAUUUAUAGUGUAUACUUUGCAGAUAAAAAAAUUAGUAUUUUGUAGGUGCUUAAAAAUGUGGAGAAAAGAAAUAUUGUAAUGGCCAGAAUGAGAAGAAAGUUAAGAUGUACCAAUGAGAUCUCUUUACACAUCUUUAUUCUUUCUUUCUUCUUCUUAAUUAAGAAUUCACCUCACACAAACAAACGUGCUUUGAUCUCACUCUUGAAAUCAGAUGCAGAAGAAAAGCAAAGCUUUUCAAAAUUUUAAGAUCUCUAUAGAACCACUAGGAAAACUUCGAUGCAAUCAAAUUCUACAUAAUUAAAUCAAUCUCAAUUUUAAAUAGGCUUAGCUUUGUUUCAACAAUUUCAACAGAUUGCACAGUCGGCUAAACUAAAUGGAGAAUGAGAGAUGUAGAUUUAAUGUUAUAUAUAUGUAUGUUCGGGUAUCCGAUAUAAUUAACCGAUUGGGUUCGGUUAUCUGGACAUGCUCAUAUCAAAACAUGUUUAACUACUUUGCUAUUUUGGUUGUAUCGGGUAAAAUACCCAGACCUAUUUUGAACCAUUACAAAAUCAAGUUCUUUAUAUCUUAAAGUAGUAAUAGUGAAUGGUAAUGUCAACACAAAAUAAGUGUUCACUUUCAUGUACGUUGGACUAGAGUUAUCCGAUUUUAGUUUAUUACUUUAAUCUCUUAAUCCUCUUCAUAUUGCUAACCUGAAUCAGAUGAAACUUAUAAGUUGAAGUAUUGAACCAUUGUAGAGUAUCUAAAUCUUUGUAACAUUUUAUUUUCUGAAAAUGAUGAUGGUAAUAAAAAAGGAAAAUUAAAAGCAGGCAAAAACAAUAUGAUUUCAUUAAGAUUGUUUUCCCCGAUCACACAAACAUUCAUUCACAUAUAUCCCCACACUGAUGCCAGAAAUUAGAAAAAGACAAUAAGAAAUUGAAACUUGCCAAAUUUGUACACACACCAUAACAACCAUUUUGUAAUUGUUUUUCUUAGGCCGCACUUCUGAAGGACCCGAGGGAUUUGGAACCGGAAGCUCUUAGGACGAAUUGGUGGUAAAAUGCAGCAAUCGCAGCUCCAAUGAAUGGUCCAACCCAGAAUAUCCACUGUAAAUAAAAUAAACCAAAAAAUACUCAAUUAUUCUCACAUCAUAAACAUUAAUUAUAGUGUGAUUGGCUUCUACUAAAAGAGACAUACGUGGUCAUCCCACGGCUUGGACUCGUUGUAGAUAACCGCAGCUCCGAAACUCCUUGCCGGGUUAAUUCCUGUUCCGGUGAUCGGAAUAGUGGCCAAGUGAACCAUGAAGACCGCAAACCCUAUCGGAAGUGGCGCCAACACCUAUUACAUACAAGUAUAAUUAAUUAGUAGCUCGAGUUAUAUCAUAUGUUAACUAACGUUCUUGUAAUUACUACUUGAUGCUAAAAAUACUUACGGGAACGUGGGAGUCUCGUGCGUUUCUUUUGGGGUCUGUGGCUGAGAAGACAGUGUAGACCAGGACAAAAGUUCCGAUGAUCUCUGCGGCGAGUCCAGUCCCUGUGCUGUAUCCGUCGGCUAGAGAGUUGGCUCCUCCGCCGUAACGCACGUAGUAAGCGCUUUGGAAGGCUUUGACAAACCCAACUCCACAAAUCGCACCUAAACACUGAGCCACCAUGUAUAAAACCGCUCUAACCAGCGAUACCUUCCGGGCCAAGAACAAGCCGAACGUCACCGCCGGGUUUAUGUGACCACCUUCAUAAAGUUUGGGGUCAAUGUCAAAUAAACUAUAAAUGAAAGGGUAUGUUUGUUAAAACUGAACCGGACCGUUUUUUGUAUAUUAAUACCUGAGAUACCGGCGGUGCAGUAGACAAGGAUGAAGAUCAUGCCGCCGAAAGCCCAUGAGAUACCGAGGAUUCCGACGCCUCCGCAGUCGUCGCCUCCUGCCUUAGUGUCGGAGGAAAUCUUGUAGCCGAUGACAGUCAAAACGGUGACGUACAAAAAGAGGAGAGUGGCUACGAACUCGGCGAUGACUGCUCUGUAUAAAGACCACUUCGUGAGCUCCUCCGCGUCGAAAAACGGAGUAGGCGGUGGGUCUUCGUAGUCCCUCGCCGUGACUCCCUCUGCUCCUUCCACAUCUUUAGCCAUUUAAUAUAUUUCUGUUUAGGAAAAAAUGUGUUUUUGGUUAUUAUGAUGGUGAAGAGAUGAAGAAAAGUUUGUUUAUAUAGAGUGAGUUUAUGCAUACAUAUGAAUAAUUGUAAGCUAUACGUAUAUUGUUAUUUGAUUAUAUUACAAUAUUGUUUUCAUUGGUUGGUUAUGGUUAUUCUAUUACUCGUAAAUGAAUAUAGAACUAUAUAUGACGAUUAUGAUUAUUUUGGUGGAAAACUAGCUUGCACUAAUUAAUUACCUAGCUAGCUGUCUUGAUAUAUAAUCUAAAACCAUAUAUACUAAUCAUUGCUCCAUAAUUAAUAUUAUCUCUACUAGAUUCUUUGUCCGCGCGAUUAUGCAUUAUAAUUUUAUUUCAAUAUUUUUUUUUAUAUAUAUUUUCAAUAUAUUUUUUUAUGAAUAUAGUUCUACAGUAAUGAACUAAAAUUGUCACUACAAAGUUGAAGAUGGUUUUUGUUGAUAUUUUUAUCUUGUUAAAUUUAAAUAAUUAUUUUAUGUUUUUUUAUAUAUUAUUUCUGAGCGGUUUAAUUUGAUUCAUUGUGUUUUUUUUAAGCUGCUAAUAACAUAUAUAAUGGGAUUGGAGUAAAAAACAAUUUUGGUGUUGAGGUGAGUAGUAAAUUUUAGCAUUAUUUAGAAAGUUAAUUUAAAAAAUCAGAUAUGGUUAUGAAUGUCCCUUUCCCUUCACCUUUUGUAUAUGUUUGUUUCAAACUUUGAUAAAUUUUUGUCAUCUACUUUGAUACAAAAAUUAUAAAUACAAUUAUUUAUAGUUUUCUACAGAAUAUUUGGAAUUCUAAAUUACAACAAAAAUUAGAAUCUUUAAGUUUAUAUCCUUCAAGUAAUUUUAUUAAAAACAUAAGUAGUAUAUAUUUACUACUGUUUUUUAUGCUAAAUGUGAAUAAUUUUGUUAUUUUAAUUUAGUUUGGUUGUUCAUCCUAAAUGUGUAAGUAUUUUGUAAACUUAUAUAAUUUUUAUAUGUUGUCUAAUACUAACAUUAUAAGAAAAAUAAAAUAAAAUUGGUCUCCCAAUUUUUAAAAUUAAAUAUUUAACAGCUUUAUUUUGAAAAGGGUAAAACAAAAUGAUCCGUAUAUAUUUUAUAAAUAAAAAUAUCAUAAUUAUUAAAGAUAUAAUAUAUAAAAUAAAUAAUAUGUUUGUCUAUGUAUUACUGAUUAUAUAUUUUUUGUUCUUAGAAUCGGAAAUAUUUUAAAACGUAAUUAAUUGUUAAGCUAAUUCUUAUUAAUUCAGUACACAAAUACUACUGAGAUUUGAAAAAAAAAUAAUGUAAGAAUUGUUCAUAAGUUUUUUUUUCAUAUAGCUUUAGAAAAAUAUAUAUAUAUAUAUAUAGAUAUUUUCCAUUUUUGUUUUUUAGAAAAAUAAAAAAAAUAUAAAAUAAGAAAAAGAUAGAAAUUUUGAUAAUGGCAAUUACAUAAUAAGUUUAUGCUAUCGAAUAAAACUUCAUGCUUCUUCUUAAUUCAUUAAGGUUAUCUACUCAAUUGACCAUCAUGAGCAGGAUAUAUAAGAAAACAACUUUUUAAAUAAUUUGUUAUUGUACAUUGUAUACUAACAAUAUAUAUUUUAUUAAAAUCCUAGUUUAAAAAUUCAAUCUUCAGAAUAUAAAAAUAGAUUAAUAAGAAACUUUUUGGUUAAUAAUAUAAUUGAUCAAUUUUGAAGCUCUCGGUUGUAACCUUUUAAUACAUGUCUUUCUAUUUACAAUUUUAACUCUUUUGCUUUUCUUAUUCGUCCUGCUUGAGACAAAUCUGUCAAAUAAGACUUCAUUCUUCUUCUUCAUCCAUCGAAAUCAAAACUUUUAUUCCAAGUCUUUUUAAUCCGAGUGGUAUUACUAAAACAGAUGGCUAAAACUGAAAAAAAAAAAAACAUCCAUUAAAGAGAGACAACAUUAAAGAAUUCACAUUAGACAAAAGAGUUAGCUCAUCGUAGACGUUACACGUGUAUCUAAAUCUAUAAAAUAAACAAAAUGACUGGAUGGAGAUACCGAAACCACGAGUUAAGACAUGGCCGUUAUUGGGAAAUGUCCGGUAAAGAAAUUCAUUCGAGAGGGCUGAGGCACAAUUACUUCUUGGCAUCUCUCUUACUUCACAUCCUCUUCAUCUGCUUCCUCUUCAGCAUCCCGAAGGAACUGCACAUGUGGAGUUUGCAAGAUAUGCGUCUACGCGAAAAAGUACAUGAAUGAUGAUCUUGAGCUUGUUGAUAUUAAAUGAAAAGCAAACACACAGAGCUUAAAGGAGUCAGCUACGUCUCCUCCCUCUCCCCUCUCCCAAAAGAGUCAAAACACUUGCCACUUACAUAUAGAAAUAUAAUUCCAAAUACUGAGCGAGAGAGAUAUUGAGACAACUCUCGGGCUAUGUUAACGUUGUGACCUCUCAGACCUUGUAACAGAGGCAUGUGGAUGUGGAUUAUAUAUUUAUAUGUUAGAUAGAUGUAUCAGAACAACAUAAAUUGACAGGGAUCAGAAGAUCAGGUCUUACCUUAUCGUUGAUCAUGAGGAGCUCAAGACCAAUGAAUGGCUGCUGCCGUGCAUCACUUAGUAACUCUGGAACAUGUGCUCGAAGAAGAUGGUGGGAGGUUUUGCGACAAUGCUUAGAACCAUUAGAAGCCAUUUGUGAAGAAGUUUUUCUUGUGUGAGAGUAAUCAAUUUGGCGGUGGUGUAAGUCGGGGUCAUCGUAUAUAAAGAGAAGCAGGGGAAGCUGAAGAGUGUAUCGCCAUUUAGUUGUUAUUUUAUUGAAGAGGGAAGUUAUGGAUUUAUGGAUGUAAAUAGUGUGUCAAAGGGUAUGCGUUCCUAAACGGUGAAGAAAAGAUAAUGAAAGGUUGCAGCAAAGAUGGAAGACGUUGGUAGAGUUGCCGGUUUUGAUUGAAUGGGUUCAUAAAGGAUAUUGAACCUAAUUGUGUUGUGAGCAAGUACGUAGAUGUCAUUUGGUCUUUUAGAAUGAUGUUUGUAGCCCACAAAAAAUGUUAGUAAAAUUGAUGAUGACAUGUAAGUUUCGUUGGUUAGGAAUAUUUUGUUCUCGGUGGAUAAGCUGUAGAAAGUUUCAAUUUAGUCCCUUUUAUAUAGUAGAGAUUUCCAAAUGAUAGGUUUAUGUUUUCGGGCAUAUUAAAACAUAUAUUGAAAUAUAAUUAUAAGAAACAUUUUUAUGAGAUUAACAAUAUUUUAAAAAGUAAAUUUAUAGUAAGUCGACAAAUACAGUUUUUUCAAAAAUUAUAGUUUACAUCGAUCUUAUUGAAAUAAUUUUUUUAAUUAAAUAGAAAAUGCAAACAAAGAAAAAAAGUUCGAGAAGAAUCCUCCGCCAUAAAACCCUCUCAUAAUAAACUAUACUUUUUGGCAAGCAGAAUUUUCAUAUCCGUUUGUUAGCAAAAUGAUUUUCAUGAUAUUAUUUACGUAGUCAAAUAAUCAAACUGUUGAACUAUAUACUACCUUUCCAUCUAAAAAGGUAUUUUCAUAGCAAAAAAGAGAUUGUAAUAUUAACUGAUGAUAGUUAAAUAGUUAUUGUUUUGCCUUUAUAAAAAAAAGUUAUUGUUUUGUUAACAAAGGUAGAACUCGACUUUAUUUUGGUUAGCCCUUUUUCAACUUAAACGAAAAUUGGUUUAAACUAAUGUUACUGAUCUUUUAUACUUGAUCUGAACUUAUUUAAGAUUUGGAUAAUGUAAAAGAAUAAUUGUGGAGCUAUUAAGAACAGCGACUUCUUAAUUCUAAAUGUAUGGUAGAUAAUGGAGUUUUAUGGUUAAUUAAACUUAGCCUCGCCGCCCCACACCUAAAUGUAGCUAUCAUUUGGACCGACCCUAAUAUACUAUAUGCGUCUGUAUUUUUUCCCUUGUCCUAUGUCACGAGCUGUGUCCAUCCCCUACAAUAAUAUAGGCUGUCACUCUUUUACACAAAAAAAAAUAUAAUAUGAAUCUUAUCAUAAAGUUAUAAGUUGAAAACUUUGAGAUAGCCAGAUAAGAUUGAUUAGAGGUAAAAGUUCGGAUGAUGUCGAUAUAUUAUACCAUUCUUCAGUUGCUGCUUGUAUAUUGUAUCUACAAUCCCUCUCUAAAACGAGCAAAGUAGCUGUCGAUAAAACAAAAACUCAUAAGUUGAUUGAUCUACAUGAUGUUAUUAGUUAGUUUCAGUAAUUCUAUUUUGUAUCGCCUAAAUUCAUCUAUAUCGUAUACUUAAAGCUGUUACAACUUUUUCCGUCUAAAAAAAAAAAUUACUAAAAGAAUAAAGAAACAUAUGAAAGUCCAAACAGCCACACAAGCAGAAGCUUAACGACAAUAAAGCACCGAAAACCAAGACGUAAACAAAAGCUCAAGAUAAAGACAGAGGAACCACACAUCAGCACUUAUCUAUUUCUCGAAAUAAUUAUUUAGCCAACGAGGACAACCUUGCGCUUGCGCCACACAAGACGGUAAUCAAAGGUCUACAACAAUUUUCGCAAUCUCAUAAUUAAGCUCUUCUAUAAAUUGUAGUGAAAAUUACAGAGGCUUAUCUUUUGCGAAUCAAUAACAUUUUCUCCCUCCAUUUCACUUAAAUGGCGUUUUAAGAAUUUUCUACUUCAUUUUAAAUGAUGUUUAUAAGUUUUAUACAAAUUAAAUGUUAUUUGGUGUAUGUGACUCUUUGCAUUAUAGAAUACCCUAUCCGUUUCAAAAAUAACAUAUUUUAGAUUUUUCACACAUAUUAAAAAAACACAUUAAAACUUGAUUGUAAAUGCAUUGUUUUUGUGAAUAACAAUUUUCCAUAAUUUAUAGCCAAUAGAAAUCCAAUAAACACCAUUAAAUUUUUUGAAAUUUACAUUUUUUCAUUAAAUAAUAUAUUGAAAAAGUAAAAAAUAUUUUUUUUUGAAAUAUUUUUUUCCUAGAAUGUGGAUCUUUAUGAAACGGAUGGAAUAUAAUGUUUUAUUGGUUAAAUUAACUAUAGUUAUUGAUAUUUUUAUACAAAUGAAUUAAAUUAAAUUAAUUAAUAACUUUUUUAAUCGGUGUGAAGAUUCUAAAUGUUGUUUAUUUUGAGACGGACAGAGCAAAUAAAAGACUUUCGACGCAGGACAAAUAUAUACUGUAUCUAGUAGUCUCAACUUACUAUUUAUAAAACUGGGUGAUAGAAAAAGUCUAUUUUAGGGUUAGGUGCAUUACAUUAACAUAAUAAUUACACGGACAGGAUAAAACAAGGAACGUCCUCUAUUCAAUGGUUUUGUUUCCACUAGAACUGGACACGCAUCGGAUAUCCGAGUUUUUGAAAGUAUUUGUAAUUUGCUUCGUAUGUUACGGAUAUCUAAUUUUUCGAUUUGUUUUGCUUCGGAAAAAUAUGGAUAUUCGGAAAAACGGAUAUCCAAAAAAUAAAUAGAUAUUUGCGGAUAUUUACGAAUACUUACGGAUAUCUCAUAUGUUUUGAUUAAUACAAAUAAUUUUAAAAAUUUGUAUACAAAUUUGUUUUGUAAAAUAUUUUUUUGCAUGAUAUAUAAGAUAAAAAUUAAAAGAAGUAAUGAAGCUACAUAUUUUGUAAAUUUUUUAAACUUAGUUAACAAUUAUAAUAAGACAAAACUUAAGAAAAAAGUUAUAGUUGUCAUAAAUUUUUUCACUUCCUUUUAUGUAAUACUUUUAUAUAAGUAAUAAUGUGAAUAGAAUUUGUCAAAUCAUACGUUAGAAUAAUAAUUAUAUAAUUUAUACAUUUAAAACUUUAAAUAUAAUCAAGAUAUACAUGUAUUUAUAUAUUAUCGGAUCGGAUCGGAUAUCCGCUUCCCAAAAUUUUAAUAUUUGUGAUUUGCUUCGAUUUUAACGGAUAUUGAUUUUUAUUAUUUGCUUUGCAUCGAAAGUUUACGGAUAUCCAAAAUUUUCGGAUCGAAUCGAAACGAAUAACGAAUCAAAUCAAAUUUAACGGAUAAAAUGUUCAGUCCUAGUUUAAACAUUGUGCAAUAACUCCCUUAAUCCAUAAAACAGCAUUCUAUAGAUGUGGCUCAUUGGUUGAUUUGUGUGGUACACCACAUACUAAAUACUUGCUUAUCAUUGGUUAAACAUAUAAUCAGACUUGAAAGUUUAGUAACUAAAAUAUAUGUUAAGAUUAAACAAAAUAAAAGUGGACUAAGAUGACUUUUUCAUGAUAUCUCGAAAUGUUCACUUUUCAACUACUCAGUACUCACCAACAAGAGUUAAAAAUUCUUAUGUUUUAUAACAAAAGAAAAAACUUAUAAAGUUAUGAAUGACUUAGUCCACGACUUUAUACACACUUUUGAAAUUUAUACUAGGAUGAGAUACUAUUUAUCUAAUAAAACCUGUAUAUCGGGUGCCUUAAUCUUAUCCAUUUCAACAUAUUCGUACAAUAAUCAACGUUUUGCUUAAUUAUCGUUUUGGGUUGUCUUUUCGUAUUGUCUUAAACAAAGGUGACAUACAUAUUUAACUCAACAACGAUCUCAUAGGUUCAUAGCAAGUAGCAACCAUAGUGACAUCAAUUUCAGAGGAAAAAACAAAAUGAAAAAGGGUUGGAUUUAUUUAAUAUCAGUCGGGAGUAGUUCGUGUCAAGAUGUGUGUUCUUCAUCUCCACCUAAAUAAAAUGAAUUAUUAUAUUCGUGUUUUCUUAAGAAAGAGGUAGAUUUGCUAGUUUGGAUUAUAUUUCUUGGUUGCUGANNNNNNNNNNNNNNNNNNNNNNNNNNNNNNNNNNNNNNNNNNNNNNNNNNNNNNNNNNNNNNNNNNNNNNNNNNNNNNNNNNNNNNNNNNNNNNNNNNNNAUGAUUAUUAUUAUCUUUCACAACAUUAUAAUCAUUUAGAGUUCACAUAACGACAAUCCUUCCUUAUCUCCCCUUGGUCACCGGUGAGAGGGUUGGUCUCGGACAAGAGCCUGACACCGCGUGAGAAUUGUUCAUGGAAGUAACCAUUGUCCGCAGCCAUCUUGGCCACAAAAGGUGCCGUCCUCGGGUCGCUGGCUAGCUCAUCAUCGAUGACCAGGAGCCCUCUAUGAGCCAUGAUGUUCUUGUAAUACAUAUUGUCCACAACCAUGGGAGUCUCACGGUCAUUAAAUUUUUUGACAGAAAAUACACAAAUACAAGUAACAAAAAAUUUAACCAAACAAUAACAGGAUAAAAGAAAAAAAAGCAACACCGAACUACCAGUCGAAAAACUGAAGUCGAAGCUUAACCAAAACCGAGCAUUUCCAAAUGGUGAUGAUAUAUGUGAUGAAACAUGAGACCACGUCUUGGUAAUUUUGGCUUCCUUGCAACGCUGCUCCAAUUGAUUGGUACUACCUCCAGAAAACUUUGCAAACUCAGUCGUCGGAAACCACAUCUCCCAACUACCACCGGCAGUAGGAAACACUGAUCUCUAAGAACCACACACCUCUCCAACAAGUAACUCCAAAAGCGCUAUCUGGAAAGACCCGCCUAGACUUCAAGUAGCCACACUUAUUUGGUUCGACCUCGGAAACUAACGCGAGCCACAACAAAAAACAGGUACGGUGAGAGCCACAUUUUGAUGUCGUUCUUCCAAACCUACAACACGGACCGAAGAUCAACCCACCGAUGCGAGAAAGGGAUCUAACAGUGGUGUUGGAAUGAUCAAUCUUCACACGAGCCUCCCACGAAGAACCGUCACUCCAAUGAUCAAAAGGAGCUCCGAGUAAACUGCCUCGCGCUAACACUGAGAACCGGAGCUAGCUCCACGGAGCUCACAAUGUAUGACUGGUUAGUUGCUAACGCUAAUAUUAUGAGUCACAGUACAAGCCCCUAUAGUUUUCUAAUUAUCUUUUUAAUUGUUUGAGUAAAUCAAGGUUUAGAAAUGCCUUUCUCUGAUAUACUUUAGUAGUAUAUAUUAACUCCCAUCCUCUACCUUUUUGGCCAAAAAGAUGCACCUAAUCCCUCGUAUAGAUUAACGCCUACACACAUUAAAAUAAAACUUUUAAAUCAGUCAAAUUAAAUUCAAGAAAUAGAUACUCAAAUCAUACAACAAAGCCAACUCCACGAUAAAUUAUCCAACGAAUGAAAAGAAGUCGACCGCAUAAUAUCAAACUGUUAAGUUAAGAUAGAGUAUCACUGACCCAACAAGCACAUAUAACAGCCACUGAAAAAAGGUUAGAAAAAAAAAGUUGAAUCGGACUCCUAAAAACCGAAAAAUAUAGAUUGGAAGAAAGAUAAAUAUCGAUUAACUCAUUUUUGUUUUUUUUUAUGAUUUAGUUUUUAAUCUGUGUAUACUUUGGUGAAGUAGUACACUAGUACUACAUAUGUUAAUAGGUUAGGUAUAGUAGUUUGGGACUCUAUCCACUACUGUGUUUCUCUUGUCGGGGAUCCUAUGAAUUCCCAGUUGCCACCGCAAUAGGUAACCGAGAGUUAAAUGCAACCAUUUUUUUCAAAAAAAAAGAGAGUUAAAUGCAACCAGCCUUUUUAUUAUACUCUAUGUCAUAGUGUAUGUAAUUUGAUUUAUGAGAUUGAUAUCCCCAAAUUUUGGUCGGUCCAUGAACUGUUAUUCCAUGUGCACAUGCUGUUUUAACGCUAUUGACCUUGACAGUCCAUAUCUUAGGCUAGAUAAUCUAAUGACCACAAUGUAUGGCGUUAUUAUAGAUAACCGAUGAUUAUGGUCUAUUAAGGCAUUUUCAUCCCUAUUCCAUUUUUUCUUUUAAAAUAGAAUAAAAGUGAAUAUAGACUAAGGAAUGCUCCAACCCAACUCUAUAUCUCACUCCAUAAUGAAAUUUACUCUAUAAAUGAAGUAAUCUAUUUUUUGUCUGUUCAUCACUCCAUUAUGGAGUAGGAAAUGAAGUAGGGUUAGGGUAAUUUUACUCAAUUUUUAUUUUUACUCUAUUUUGGAGAAAAAAAUGGAGUUUUACAUUCGAGAUACUCUUAAUUACAUUGCAACUAUAAUUGUGUCAGUUAAAAUAACUGACUUUGAAUAUAUUUCCUUUUAGCAAUCACCUUGUUUAAUAUCAGUAUUUUUUUAUGGAUUGCCAUCUCAAGUGUUACUCCGAUCAGACUUCUUAUGUCAAUAAAUGGAUCAAAUAAUAAAUAUUCUUUUACUAUAGAUGACUGAACUCAGUGAACUCGGGCGCGAAUAUGAUGAAGGGUUUUGUGAAAGAACUCUCCGUACAAAAAACAAGAAGACAAUUUUCAAGAACACACAAAUGGUUUGUAAGAACAAUUCAGUUUCUUAGUUUACACGUUAGAGGAUUCAGAAACACCUUCAUACUUAUUUUUGUAGUUUAAACACGUUCAAAAAGAGAAGUUUUCACUUUUGUAGGAUAUAUAAAUUUUGGUGGGAUCAUCAAAUAGGAUCAUCAAACAGGAUCGAACAAAAACUUAUCAACGUUCUUGUUUUGCUUGAGAAACAAAACUGUGACCACAGCUUAUAUUUUCAUAUCGGUUUCAAUCACAAUAGUAGUUCUUAAAUCUUAACUACAUUACAUCAAUUUUAAAUGGACUCUGCCUAUACAAACAAAAAACAUGCUAUUAUGAUUAAUAUCAUGCCACUUUAGCAACUAUUCUUUUUUUCUAUCAAACCUUAAUCUAAAUAAAGCUUAGCAGUUAGCCCCUAACCUUAAAAAAAAGUUGUUCACCAAAGUAGCCGCACUGGCUAAAGCACCCACACCAUCAAAAGCAAAAUGGGAAAAAUGGAAAAUAAACACAACCGAUAUAAACAUACAUAACACCAAAGCGACUUAAGAUAGAAACACAACAAGUGUAGAACAAUUCAGAUGAACUGAUGAAGCCAUAGAAAUCAGAGGACACAUUCGCUGAACUACUGCCAAACAUGUGCCGCAUCAACAAAUACAUUAAAAUCAAGAAAUUUAGCUACAGAGGUGGUCACGUACUAUUAGAUCGGUACGUAUGGCUAAAAAGUAAUGGUAUUUUUUCUACUUAUUUUGCAACCGAUAUUUUGUUAUUAUUAAUGAUCUGAUGCUACUAUUUUUCACUAAUCCAUAGUUACUACAUGACAACGUAAAACUCGGUUGCUAUUACACAACGUUAUCUAUAAUUUAUUUUUUAUAUGAAAAAUUUCCUAUGAUAGCAUUUUAAAAUUUUUAUCACAAAAAUUGAUUUCAAUGAAAAAUGAUUAAAAUAAGUUUUAUUAAAAAAUAAAAAAAUAUAUUUAUACCAUAGAGUUAACUAAUCUAGAUUUAUGGUUCAUAGUUAAGAAGUGAGGCUUUGAAGAUAGAGUUUCAAAUUUUAUAAAAUAAAAUUAAUAUUAAAAUUUUCAAAAUAAAAAAGCUAUUUUAAUCAUUUUCUUUAUUGAAAACUAUUUUUAUGACAAAAACUUAAAAAUAACUAUCUGAGAGAAUUGUUUUUUUUUUAUAUUCCUAAACAUUAAUUAAAAUUAGUUUUUUUCGCAUUUGUUUUUACAUUUGAGAGAUUUUUACUGAUAGAAAAAAAAAUCCAUAAUACUAUUUGUAUCGUUUAAAAUUAUAUUUGUUAAGUAUUAAAAACAUCUUUCCAUUUCAAAAAUAUUACUUUAACCUUUUGCCAUAGAUGAGGAAUAGUUAAACUUUAUUUAUUUUUAAUAACUACAUUUAUUUAACUAAUAAUCUUUAAAAUAAAUAAAUGAUUUAUAAAAUUAAAAUAUUUUCCAAUUAAUAAUAUUAAAAUAAAUAUAUCAUAGUUGUAUUGAAAAUUUUAAAAUGAUUUGUUUUAUAACAAAAAAAAUAUAUAUAUAAAACAAAAAAAAUAUAAAAAUUACAUUUUCUUUAAAAUAGCACUAUAUUUUUUUAAUAUAUAUAUAAAUUGCCUUAAGACGUUUGUUAACUUAAACAUGAUGCAGAUGGAGAUCAAGUUGGAGAAAUCCUAUAUUUUUUGCGGCGGAAAAACGCGAGGGAGACACAAGAACCAUCUUCACCAGAAGUGACUUGCAUCAUGGGUCAAGCGAGGAUAAACCGGUCAAAUAAACCCAAACCGGAAGCUAAUCGGUCGGCCAAAGAUGUAACGGAAAGCCACGAACGUCCGAGACGGUUUGCGUGGAACACCCCUUCUCCGGGAAACUCAAACCGAGUUGGUUCAGCCCCGUUUGGCGCAAAUGGAGAAAAUCAGAGAAGCGAUCAUCAAGCUGGCCGGAACUUCCUCCAGAGAUCAUGAGGGAAAUUCUGAUCAGGCUGCCGAUCAAAUCGAUCGGGAGAUCCAGGUGCGUCUCAAAGCUGUUCCGCUCCCUCUCAUCAGAUCCAGGCUUCGCAAAAAGCCAGCUCGAUCUGAUGACCGCUCACCGGAAACUCAUCGUGUCUUCACACAACGGUAACAUGUAUGCAUUAGACUUGAACGAAGUAACUCGAGAUUCGAUACCUGUGGACCUCAGUUAUCCGCUUAAAGACGAACUACCAUUUCGAAGAGACUGUGUUGAAAUCUACGGAUCAUCCAACGGUUUAGUGUGUGUAUGAAGACGUUGUUCUCUUGUAUAACCCAACCACCAGAGAAUCAAAGCUGUUACCUGCUGAGAGCACUGAGACUGUCAAAAGAUACAGAGAAAAGUUCAUAUCCUAUGGAUUUGGCUUCGAUCAUCUCACCAAUGAUUACAAAGUAGUGAAGCUUGUCGCUGAUUCUAACAAUCUUCUCUACGCUUGCGUCUACUCUUUGAAGUCAAGACUCGUGGAGAUGGAUCCGCGAUUUGAGCUACCAACACAUCGACCGCUUCUGUUUCAACUGCUUCCCUCCCGGUCUGAAUCUCAACGGUGUGAUCCACUGGGUGUUCACUCUUCAACAAGGCAGUCGCAAGCGGAAAGUGAUAUUAGCAUUUGAUAUUAUAACGGAAGAGUUUGGAGAGAUGCCAUAUCCUACCGAAGCUAGGAGUUGUCCAUAUCGUUUCAUGGUAGGGAAUCUCAACGAGCGUCUUUGUUUGUUCACUAGUUGCUACGAGUUACAUGAUGAUAUUUGGGUGAUGAAUGAGUUGGGUGUAUGGCGCAGAAUCCGGAUCAGCGUGUUCUACAGGUUUAUGAAACCGGUGUGUUCGACCAAGAACAGCGAGGAGGAGGUUCUGAUGGUGUUUGAUGGAGUCAUGGUGUUGUACAAUUUUGAGACCCAUGCAAGGAGGAGACUGGAAAUUCAAGGGGAAAACCUCUGUGAGGGGUUCGAUGUCAAUUCGUACGUAGAGAGCCUCAUAUCACCAAACUCGCAUGGUCUUGACAACUGAAGAAAGCACUUUGAUUUUAAGUUAUAGAUUAAUAAGACUGGGCACAGACAGUCUACUCGUCUCGUUAGUUUGUUUUAUAUUUGGAUCGACUGUAGGUCUGUAGCCCUUUUUCUCACACAUAUAUAUUGAUAUUAGUUUGACAAUUUUAGAUCUGGUCAAAAUAAAUAGGUAUAGAGACCUUGAUGCGCUGACGCAGAAUGCAGAAUUUUGUUCAGCAAAGUAUUUUAUCUCAUACAAACCUUGCAAAAAAAUAUUAUUAUUAUAUAUAUACGCAAUUUUUUAUAGAUAUCUAGAACCUCAUUGAUCAUAUGAAUCUAUGCCAACACCUUGCUCUAAUGUGAGAAAUACUCUCAAGGCAUUCACCAAUUCUAAGUGACCUUCUUUAUUGAGUACUGACAGAUUCAAGUUCGUGAAACAGUCAGUGGAGACUGUUUUUGACGACUCGCCCAAGAUAUUCGGAGUUUGUUCUAAUGAAAACAUGUUUAUCUUUGUUUUUGUCUCUUUUUCCAUAAAAUUCUGUUGUUGUCUUGAUUAGGCUCACGUUAGUCUCUUCUAGUGUUGUCAAAGAGAUGACAUAUACUCGUAGACAGUAUGUCAAUCCAUACUAACGUAUCUUCACACAAAAAUCCAGCAUCCCUUUGUAAAGAGAAAGUGAGAAACAAUUGUAAAUUCUUUUUUAUUUUUCCCACCAAAUUAGUAAGUUCCUCGCGGACCUUAGAUAGGCCGAGAUCUUAAUGGGCUUAAAAAUAUUUCUUAAAUCAUAAAAGAUAAUAAUACUCACGAAGGUGUGUCUUUUGACCAUUUCUAAUUCAAAUUACUUAACGCGUAGAACGGGACGCGUAAUAAGAGUCUAUUUUCUCUUCUUCUCUUUCAGAUCUUAAAGGUUUCUUGCUAAAUAUGGCGGGAGAAGACAACAACCGCGAAGCUCAACGAGGCGACGACCAUGAGGAAUCGAGUCCUCUCUUGCAAGUGAACGACACCAAGAUCAACUCGAAAGGGGACAAAAAGACGGCGCCGAUUGUGCAUCCUCCCGCGGUGGAGGAAUACGGCUGGACGGCGGAUGGAUUGCCGGUGACCGACGGCAGCGUGAUCGGCGAGCCGAUCGGGAGAAACCAGUGGAACUCCGGUCUGUUCUCCUGUUUCGGACGGAACGAUGAAUUCUGCAGCAGCGAUCUCGAAGUUUGUGAGUGUUUUCUUGUCUGCUUUCUAAAAUUAGGGUUUUUGAAAUUGGGGGAAUUUUGAAAUUGAUUGAAAUUGGAAGUGAUCUGAUUGUAAUUUGUUGAAAGAGUCCAUCUUUUGAAAUGGGUCGAUCGAAAUUGAUUGAAAUUGGAAAUGAUCUGAUUGUGAUUUGUUGAAAGAGUCAAUCUUUAGAUCGUUCAGCUUAAAUAUGGGUCUUGAAGGUUAAGCUUAAUAGGCAAUCGAGAGAAGAAACCUCAAGAUGCGAUGUUAUGUGGCUUUGAUGAAACUUUUAGUGAUGAUGAUGGUAAUGGCUUUCUUUUGUUAGGUCUUCUUGGAAGUGUGGCUCCAUGUGUGCUUUAUGGAACUAAUGCAGAGAGGCUUGGGUCUGCCCCAGGAACCUUUUCGAACCACUGCUUGACGUAUUCAGGGUUGUACUUUAUUGGGAACUCUUUGUUUGGGUGGAACUGCCUUGCUCCAUGGUUCUCUUAUUCCAGCCGUUCUGCCAUUCGCCGCAAGUUUAACCUUGAGGUAUUUUUUUCUCUGUUUUCUUUCAUUUGGAAACAGACAAGUGAAUUUGAGAGAAAAAAAAAGGUUGUCCUUUGAGAAGAGAUUGAUCAACUCACGUCUUUGUAUAUGUUCUUGAUUGCUUGGAUGAUGACGAGUAGGGACCUAGCCCCAAGAGAUUCUAGUUUGUGUACCAUCGUCGCCUGGUUUCGUCAGAGUCCCUCUAGUGGCUCUAGUUACAAAGGGCUGUCUAUUAGCCUUCUAGUGGCUCUAGUUACAAAGGGCUGUCUAUUAGCCUUUAGGAUAGUCUCAUUUUGCACCUUUUUUGUUUUGUCUUCCCAUUAUCGUUUCUUCUAAUGAGAAAUUGCAUCUCCUGAACCUAUCUUUUGUUUUCUUUUUUUGGGUAAAAAACAGGGAAGCUUUGAGGCAAUGAACAGGUCGUGUGGCUGCUGCGGAAGCUGCAUAGAGGACGAGAUGCAAAGGGAGCAUAUGGAGACGACUUGUGACUUUGUGACACACGUCCUUUGCCAUACAUGUGCCCUUUGCCAAGAAGGCCGUGAGCUCCGCAGGAAGGUUCUUCACCCUGGUUUCAACGCUCAGUCUACCGUGGUGGUGCUCCCACCAAGUGAACAAACCAUGGGCCGUAAGUGAGUCCAGUGGUCUGAAUAGCACUUGUUACAUAUAUAAACAAGUGUCUUUGUGUGGAACACGAACUAUCAUGUUGUCUCUUGCUUACUUUUUUGAAUAAACUCCUUCUACGUCUGUAAUUUGUCGCGUGUAAAGAUCUUUUCUUCUACGCACUCAAACAUAUGUAUACCUUUAUUGUUAAUGGUAUGUAAUAUUCAUUUGUUUCACAACUCGUAAGGUGUUAACAUAGGGGUAACCGGAUUGGUUUAACGUAACCGAGUUUCGAGCAAAGCUUUUCAAUCGAGGAAACACAUUUUACUCUAUUAAUAAAGUUGGGAUUAUAAAAGGAAACACAUUUUACUCUAUUAAUAAAGUUGGGAUUAUAAAAUUUUAAAAUUUAGAGUUAUUAAUUUGCAAAAAAGUCAUUUUUUACAUUUCUCUACUUUUAGAGUAUAUUUUUUUUAUAAAAUAAGAAAAUAGUUAACUUUGUCUUAGAUAUAUUAAUUUAUAUUUAAAAAUUCGGUGUUUAUAUUUCGGUUUUUGGUUCUACUAUAUGGUGUAUACGAUAUAUGUUUCAUAGAAUUUAAAUGUAAUUUUAGAUAUAAUUUUACUAAAUAUUAUUAAAAAUAUAUUGAAGUGUAGAAAUAUAUAUGGUUUCAUUGUGAAUUUAAAACAAAUCUAUAUUGUUAUUUGUAAAAUAACUUUUCGCAACUCGAAUUCUCACGUUAAAAAUUAGAGCAAUUAAUAUCAUUUAUACUCUUAAUGAAUAAAAUAUAUAUUAGCUUAAAAAAUAAAAUGAAUUUAAAAUUUAUUUGAUUAGAUAAGUGGUUUAAAUUAUUAAUAAUAAAAAAUUAUCCAAAAUAUAAUAUAUUUUAAAAUAAAAAGAUAAUUCAUAUAUAUAUAUAUAUAUUGUGUAGUUAUCCGCAAAAUAUUUUUGAUAAAAAAAAUUCUUAAAAAAACUAAAAAACCGGAAACAGAUAACUAAAUAUUAAUCAAGCACAAAUUUUAUUUUUAUAUAAUUGAAAAUAGAAUAUUGAGUGAUUUCUAAUAUUUAUUAAUAAUAAAUAAAUGCAUAACGAAAUUUUCAAAAAAAUUAUAGUAUGUAAGAAUUUUCAAAUGAAAAUAUAAAUAAUAAUUUAUCCUUGUAAUCUUUUAAUUAGUAAUGUAUGUAUUAAUAAGUAAUUAUUACAUGCUCAUGUUUGCAUGCAAAGGGGAAACAUCUAGUGAUACAACGCUUUGUUUGUACUUAUAUAAACCUCAUAUACAUAUUAUUAAUUUAUGAUUUUAGCUAGACUAUAUAUAAAUAUGAUUUUCUAAAAAAUGAUUAUCUUAUUAUUUUAUUGAUUUGUAUCAUACUUUUAACUAGCACAACUCAAAACUGAAGAAAUUUAUUAAUUUAUUGUGUUUAUUAAUUAAUUUAGUAUUAAUUUUUAGAGCUUCUAUUGAAUGGACAAACAAAAUGUAGAGUAUCUCCUGGGGAUUUUAACCCGUUUAUACAAAUGUUUUGAAAACCAUACCAGACAUUGACUUGGUAUGGUGACUGAGUCAAUGGUUGGACCGGUCUAACCGGUUCAAUCGGGUUUUAUUUUAUUUAAUUUAAAAUAUAAAUUUAAAGUUAUAUAAUUAAUUUAUAUACUUUUAACUUGUACUAUAAUUGUGAAAAUAAUAUAAAAUAUUGUAAACUAAUAUAAUUAGAUAAUAUAAUAAGUUAAUUGUAUACCGGUUUAUUGUAAAUUGUAUAAUUGUUUUUUAUUUUUACUUCAGUUUUUUUAAACCGGAUUUUGAUAUUGAACUGGUUUACCGGUUUUAUCGAUUUUUGCCGGUUUUAACUGGUUUUAGAGGUUUAAUUCAAAUCCGGUUUUUAUAGUAACCCGUAACUGGCAAUAUAAAUGAGUCACAGUUCAACCAAUUUGACCAGCUGGUCUGAUCCGGUUUUCAAAACACUAAUUUAUACCCAUUGCAAUUAACUCUACUGAGCCUACCCAAACCCUUAGGGGUCAUUUUAAAAAAUAUAGUGUGAUAUUACAUUGAGGAGAGGACAUUUUAAUAUAGGCCAAUUAGCGUGUUUAGUAGCAGGUUGAUCUAAUUGCAGAGAUUAUAGAUGUGACUUAGAUUUUAGAGUUGCUGAUUUUAUAAAUGAAAAUAUUUGUUAACUUUGCAUAGAAUUAUAUUAUAUUAAUAUAGAACUAGAUUCUAACCCGCCCUUGAAAGGGCGGGUAAAUUUCUGUUUUAUAUAUUUUUUAGAAAUUUAAUUUUCAUAUAUGUGUUUUUCUUUUGUAAUCAUAUUUGUGUAAAAUAUUUUUUAAAAAUUAUUAGUAAGAAAUUUUAAUAAUUGUAUUGAAUUGUGAUGUUGCGUAUCUAUACACUUAUGCCAUAGACGAUUUAGAUACAAGUAAUAUUUUCAUACCCGAUCUAGAUCCACAGUUGAACCGAUAAACCUUGUUGUAAAAUCCAAAGCGUUUUUGUUGAUUUUUAUGCUUAAAUCUUUCUGUUUUCAUUUUCUACAUGUUUAUUUAUUCAUAUUGAUUAACACAUAAAUUUGAAGGAAGAUUUCUUACUCCUUAGUGAUGAACAUAAAGUCUAAGUCACACUCUUCUUAAUUCGUAUGGAGUCAUUCGGAUUUUCAGAGUAAGCUAUAUUCGUGAAUCUGUUUUGAUAUAGAUUGAUGUGGUUGAUUAUUUUGACUCAUCAACCAAGUUGUGGGUUUAUGUUUUUAGGUUUCAUUAGAAACUCUAAUUCUUCACAAACAUGUACUUGAAAAUUACGGUGGGCCUCUUUUCUCCUUUUUUGUUCAUUCGCUGAGUAACUUUUUACAGUGUUACGAUGAUAAUUUAUUAACCAGUAGAUGAAGCUUAACUGGGUUUUCAUUAGAAACCCUGAUUCUUGAUAAACAUGUGAUGGAAUUUAUAUUUGUGUAAAAAUUUUGUCAAAAAAUCGAAUUGGUUAUGGCAGAAAAGGUGAAAUGGUUUGUAUCGUAACCGUUUUCUUUAAAGAGAAAUAUAAUGUGGUUAAUGUUUAAAUAUAAUUAGACAUAGUUAUAUAAAAUCAGUUUUAAAAAAAAAAUUGGACCAAACAUUUAUCAAUUGGGCAUGUUGCUAAUUUAAUAGUAUUGAUUUCGUUAGUAUUGAUUUCGUUAAGUUUGUAGAGAAUUUGUAUAUUUAGAAACUCCAUCAAAUUUAUAUUAUAAUAUCACUACCGUUUGGUUCUCACGUCACGUAGCAAGGUACUUCAUAGCAAAAGUUUCCACUAGAGGUUCAUCAUAGCAAUUAUCCUACAAUUUUAUUCUUCGAGAUUCAGUCAUAUUCUUUAAUCAUAUAUGCAUUAUCUCGUAUUAAUUGCAUUAGAUCCCUUGUAAUAAUAGUUGGAUUAAGUAGUGAUUAAUUUGACCCUGUGAGUUUACUUUACAAGUGAUAUGACUUCUUUAACUUGGUUUUUAUACAUGAGUUCACGAUAAGAGGUCAAGAUCUAUACCUUUCUACUACCAUUAAUGAUAUUUGGCAUUUCUUAUACAAAUAAUUAAACAAGUCUACAGUUUAUCCUUGCUCUAGUUUGUCCUUGCUCGCUUCGGUCUUUAGUCUGGACCGUUUCGGUGGGACCAGGAUACUCGGUUAUAAAAAAAAAAUCUAUAGUUUGACCCCAAAAAAAACUAAACAAGUCUAUUAAUUAGACAGCAAAUGAGACUACCCAAAUUAUUUGCCGAUAAUUUAAUAGAAACUAAGAAUACAAAUUCUUAUAAUAAUGUAAAUGAUUGUAAAGAGAGAUGUGACACAUGGAGAAAUACCCAACUGGUUUGGCUUCUCACAACUAAACAAACACGAUGAUGAUGAUUUGGCUUGUGGCGUCAACAAGUUGAUAAAUAAUAGUUAACUAGGAUAAGACCUGCGUCUUGCGCAGGGUGAGUUUAUUUGUAUAUAUUAUCGAUAGUUUUUUUAUAGAUUUGAUCAUUUUAUUGGUAUAUAUAAAAUAUUUUUUGUUUUUUGUUGUUAUUAUAUAAUUUCUUUCCGAUAGAUCGGAUCAAUUUUUAUUAAAAAGAACGGAACAAAACUAUAAUUAAUACAUCAUGGGUUGAUCGGAUUAGACAUUAAACAAAUUAUGACAUAAAAACCUUAUUUUUUCCAUCGAACACAUUCUUGAAAAAAGUGAACAAUAUUGUUUUCACAGUUAAAUUAUUUUGACUUUUAUCUUCCAUAUGGUUUUGAAAGUUUUCAAAUCAACCAUCGAAUUAAUACAUGUCAUUUUAAUAUUUUUAGUCGUAUACUUAAGGAAAACUUACAUUUUUGUAAUUUAAAGUCGUUUUAAAAAAUUCAAAAUAUAACAUAUAAGAAAAAAUAUAACAUAUAAGGUGUCCUCAUUUUUGUAUUUUAAAGUCGUUUUAAGAAAAAAAUAUAACAUAUAAGGUUUCCUCAUUUUUGUAAUUUAAAGUCAUUUUAAAAAAUUCAAAAUAUAAAAUAUAAGAAAAAAUCUAUUUUUUUUAAUUAUAUGGUUAAUGUGAUUGUUUGUUUUUUUAAUAAUAUAAAAUUAAACAAAAUGAAGAAGGAUGCAAAAAUUGUUAUCAAAUCUUUAUUAUUCAUAAUCAUUAAUUGUCAUAUAUAUGUAAAUCAUAUUAGGUAAUUUCGUAGCUUUUAUUUAGAGAAAGAAUACACACUUUUUAUAUUUUAGGUUAAUAUAAUGUUCUAUAGUGGACAUUAAACAAAUUAUGACAUAAAAACCUUAUUUUUCUCUCGAACACAUUCUUGAAAAAGUGAACAUUAUUGUUUUCACAGUUGAAUUAUUUUGACUUUUAUCUUACAUAUGGUUUUGAAAGCUUUCAAAUCAACCAUCGAACUGAUACAUGUCAUUUUAAUGUUUUUAUUCAUAUACUUAAGGAAAACUUGCAUUUUUAUAAUUUAAAGUCGUUUUAAAAAAUUCAAAAUAUAACAUAUAAGAAAAAAUAUAACAUAUAAGAAAAAUAUAACAUAUAAUGUGUCCUCAUUUUUGUAUUUUAAAGUCGUUUAAAAAAUAUAUAUAACAUAUAAAGUUUCCUCAUUUUUGUAAUUUAAAAUUAUUUUAAAAAAUUCAAAAUAUAACAUAUAAGAAAACAUAUAUUUUUAUAUUAUAUGGUUAAUGUGAUUGUUUAUUUUUUUAAAAAAAAAUAUAAAAUUAAACAAAAAUGAAGAAGGAUGCAAAAAUUGUUAUCAAAUCUUUAUUAUUCAUAAUCAUUAAUUGUCAUAUAUAUGUAAAUCAUAUUAGGUAAUUCUGUAGCUUUUAUUUAAGGAAAGAAUACACACUUCUUAUAUUUUAGGUUAAUAUAAUGUUCUCUAGUGGACAUUAAACAAAUUAUGACAUAAAAACCUUAUUUUUUUCAUCGAACACAUUCUUGAAAAAAGUGAACAGUAUUGUUUUCACAGUUGAAUUAUUUUGACUUUUAUCUUCCAUAUGGUUUUGAAAGCUUUCAAAUCAACCAUCGAAUUGAUACAUGUCAUUUUAAUGUUUUUAGUCGUUUACUUAAGGAAAACUUACAUUUUUGUAAUUUAAAGUCGUUUUAAAAAAAUUCAAAAUAUAACAUAUAAGAAAAUUCUAACAUAUAAGAAAAAUAUAACAUAUAAGGUGUCCUCAUUUUUGUAUUUUAAAGUCGUUUAAAAAAAAAAUAUAACAUAUAAGGUUUCCUCAUUUUUGUAAUUUAAAGUCAUUUUAAAAAAUUCAAAAUAUAACAUAUAAGAAAAAAUCUAAUUUUUUUUUUAUAUGGUUAAUGUGAUUGUUUAAUUUUUUUAAUAAUAUAAAUUUAAACAAAAAUGAAGAAGGAUGCAAAAAUUGUUAUCAAAUCUUUAUUAUUCAUAAUCAUUAAUUGCCAUAUAUAUGUAAAUCAUAUUAGGUAAUUUCGUAGCUUUUAUUUAGGGAAAGAAUACACACUUCUUAUAUUUUAGGUUAAUAUAAUGUUCUCUAGUGGACAUUAAACAAAUUAUGACAUAAAAACCUUAUUUUUUCCCUCGAACACAUUCUUGAAAAAGUGAACAGUAUUGUUUUCACAGUUGAAUUAUUUUGAUUUUUAACUUACAUAUGGUUUUGAAAGCUUUCAAAUCAACCAUCGAACUGAUACAUGUCAUUUUAAUGUUUUUAGUCGUAUACUUAAGGAAAACUUACAUUUUUGUAAUUUAAAGUCGUUUUAAAAAAUUCAAAAUAUAACAUAUAAGAAAAAAUCUAAUUUUUUUAUUAUAUGGUUAAUGUGAUUGUUUAAGUUUUUUUAAUAAUAUUAAUUUAAACAAAAAUGAAGAAAGAUGCAAAAAUUGUUAUCAAAUCUUUAUUAUUCAUAAUCAUUAAUUGCCAUAUAUAUAUCAUAUUAGGUAAUUCCGUAGCUUUUAUUUAAGGAAAUAAUAUACACUUCCUAUAUUUUAGGUUAAUAUAAUGUUCUCUAGUGUUAUAUAAUUAUGGAAUAAUGUGACACCGUUAGAUUAAACUAUACUUUAUAUUAGAUGUUAUAGAAUUCUUUGAAAUAGAAUUUAGAAGGUUUAGAGUGCCACCUAGGAUUUGGGUUUUUUUUUAAUUAAUACAAAAUGAAGGUUCUAAUUUUUCAAAUGAUUCUCAAUUAAUAUAUAGGGGAUUAUUUUCCCCAAGUUGACCACUAUUUUUUUGUAAGAUACUUUGUUUAAAUGGUAGACAUUGUAGUUAGAAAAUCUCAAAAUUGUUAAAUUUCAAAAACUGGAAAUCAGAACCAAUUGAUAAAUUAGUAAUUAGAAAUUAAUAAAUUGAGCUAUGUUUUUAAUCUUUGAUAUAUUAUUCUAGAUCUCGUCGUAUGUUUGAUGUUAGACUUUUAACAUGUUUUGUAAAAAUGGUCAUUAGUUCUGUUUAGUCUCCAAUUUGAUAGCAUUGUAUGAUUUGAUAACAUAUCUUACUUAGAUGUCAAUUACUGGAAGAUGAUAUCAUGUUAAGUUCUAAGAACUUUACCAUAUAUAUCAAUAAAUCAUCAUACUUUCGACGUUGAGUUCUUAACAAAUUUUGUAUCUACGUACCUAUCAUAAUGAUGUAAAUUAAUGAUCUAGUUUUAGAUGAUUUUAAAUCACUCCCGAAUACAAACAAAUGAUUAAAAAUGAUUUUUAAAAACUCAUCUAACACACAAAUGAUUGGAAAAAAAAACUCAUCGGACCUUUAGACGACUUUAUUAUAUCUCAAUCCAUAACGAUUUGAUAUUUCUUCUUAUUGAUUUCAAACCAUUAACAUACAUAGUUACAUACAUACAUACAUUCAUACACACGCAUAUGAUUAUUAUUAUCUUUCACAACAUUAUAAUCAUUUAGAGUUCACAUAACGACAAUCCUUCCUUAUCUCCCCUUGGUCACCGGUGAGAGGGUUGGUCUCGGACAAGAGCCUGACACCGCGUGAGAAUUGUUCAUGGAAGUAACCAUUGUCCGCAGCCAUCUUGGCCACAAAAGGUGCCGUCCUCGGGUCGCUGGCUAGCUCAUCAUCGAUGACCAGGAGCCCUCUAUGAGCCAUGAUGUUCUUGUAAUACAUAUUGUCCACAACCAUGGGAGUCUCACGGUCAUUACGGGAAUAUAAGACUGCGUUCGGGUCCGGGUUUGGACUUGGGCAACGAUUUUUCAAGUAAAGGGCGUAAUCUGGGUCUAGAGUCGGGUCAAUCGUUGGGUAUAGCCGGUGCACUAGAUUAACGCAAUGGACCCUACCAACGGAGUGAGCACCUACGAUAAUAUAAGUUGACUGAUGAGUAAUAGUGACAGUCAUUUUUUGUAAAACUCAUUUCUUUUCUAAAAUCGUGAAAAAAACAAAAACCAAAAUAUUAAUCCUGGUAGUGUUAGUUACCAUGCCCUGAAAAGUUUGUGUUGUUUUAUUCACAUAGCAAUAGCUUGACAUUUUACAAAGAUUAUAUUCUAAUCAGAUAAUGACUUAAACUAAUUACAUCAUUAUCUCAUUCUAAAUAGUAGUUCUCCAAAUCUAUUGGUCUGUGCAGCUAAAAGAUGGUUACUACUCAGAUUUGCUAUAAGGAAUUAAAAGUUGUUACCUAAUAGAGCAACGGUGGCUUCAACAUCGAUGCCCAUGGAGUUAAAGUUUGAGAGAACGGAGGAGAGGGAGUCAUUGUGGUUAGGAACUAGAGUCUCAACAUCACUCAAGUAGCUUCCUCUACUGUCUCUCCUUCCUGUCUUGAUCAUAUCUAUCUUUGGCCCUUUCAACUAUUCAUUUCAACAAAAAAAAAACAGCACCACAAUUAUAAAAACAAUUCCAAACUAAUUUAACCUUAAAAUGCAUAUAGGUAAUAUAUCUAUAAUUACCAUGACAAUACCAUCUCUAGCAGAGAGAGCAACAAUAUCAGCGCAAGAGACUGUGGAAGGACAUUCUUUCUCAAGUGCGUCUUUGAUAACCUUAACGUACUUAAAGUUUCUCAUACCAAAACUCCUCGUUGACUUUUGCUCAGACUCCACACCUCUCGCUGUCUCUAGUAGCAGUGACGCAUCACACGACUACAAAGAGAAGACAUGAACAUAAAUAAAUCGUGUUUUGAUAUUAUAUUAUGAGUAGAUAAAACAGUUAACUACCUUGACGACGCAGUCAUGGAAGAGAUUACGGAGCCAAGAUACGGCUGUGUUACCGUGUUUGUAGUAAAGCGUCUCCACUUGUUGUCUGAUUAUCUCUUCCGCUCUAGGACAACUCUCUCUGUAAUAAUUCAUCUCCAGUUCCGCAUUCCCUACAAUUUUAUCAAAAAUCUAUAAAUGAUUCGUUUUCUCUACAUGCGUGUUAGCGAUUCUAUCAUUAUAAAAAGAAAAUAUUUGUUGAGUUUUUACGGUGGAAAUUAAAUGACUAAAAAAAUGUGAUAUUUGAGAGGCUUUUUUUUGAACCACAGAGAGGCAUAAUGUAAUUAGAGCAAUGAGGAAUAUUAUUACCGAUAUGGAAGAUGGAAAAUAACUGUAAUAACAGACAAAAGAAGGCCAAAAGACAGAAGGGCAUCUUCGCAUUCGCCAUCUCUCUCUCUCUCUUUUCUUUUUCUACUUUGUUGAUUGGUGUGUCUCUUUAUGUGUACCAAAGUAGGGUUAUAUAGAGAGAGUUCAAGGGACUUGAGUGUAUCUGUGACAAAAAAAAGGGACUUGAGUGUAUUAUAUAAUUAUCUUUAUUUAUUAGCCAUAGUGGUUGCCCAUAUUAAUUAUUCACUUUUUGUAAUCAUCGGUUGUUUCUUAAUUAUAAAUUAUAAACACAUAUUAAUACUGAAAUUUAUAACCACUAGCUACGUGAACUCAAUAGUUGUUGAACAUGUGAAUUCAGUGAGACUUGAUUUCCUUUUUCUUUUCUUUUUUUGUCACAAUGAGACUUGAUUUCCUAUUUUAUCCUAUAAUCAUACAAAACUAAUUAGUUUGGCUUUUCACUUUUGUUCUAUUAUAAUACAAAACUGUCCUUUUCCUCUACUUAAUUUUUUCAACCUUCAUUUAUUAAUUAGCCAUCCCCAUACAACUCCAUGCUCCACAAGCAAAGCAGAUAGAAAAGGAGGAGAUAUAAUAUGAAUUACGUACUAACUAAUUGAUUGAAUCGGAUUGAAAAAAAUAGAAUAUUUACAUUAUUUUUAAAUGCUUGCGAUGAAUAUGAAUAUUGCACAUCAACGUCUAGAAUAUGACCAACUCUAUUAACUUACAACCCAGGCUUACAACCAUGCUAAUCCCUAGGUAUAUACUAUAUGCUAUAUAUAGCCUAUUAUAUUAAAUUCGAAAGUUCAUUCACUAAUAAAAAGUUCUUGUUACCCUUCACUGCAUAAAGCUUGUACGACCAUUUUUUAUAGAUUCUCACAGCUUACUGACAUUUUACCUUCCAUGUGAAAUAUAUUACCUAGUUGGAUUCAUAGUUCUCUUUAGAAACUUAUUGCUUCGUUUCUGCAGUUGUAACAAAAGUAGAACGAGAGAAAUGGACUAGCUAGUCACAAGUAUGUAUAUGCAUGGCCCAUUAAUGUACUGCAUCAUGGCAAAAUUAUUGGAUACAUAUUAUAUAAAAAUCUCUAAAGAUAGCCACUCUCCAGUUCCGCAUUCCCUACAAUUUUAUCAAAAAUCUAUAAAUGAUUCGUUUUCUCUACAUGCGUGUUAGCGAUUCUAUCAUUAUAAAAAGAAAAUAUUUGUUGAGUUUUUACGGUGGAAAUUAAAUGACUAAAAAAAUGUGAUAUUUGAGAGGCUUUUUUUUGAACCACAGAGAGGCAUAAUGUAAUUAGAGCAAUGAGGAAUAUUAUUACCGAUAUGGAAGAUGGAAAAUAACUGUAAUAACAGACAAAAGAAGGCCAAAAGACAGAAGGGCAUCUUCGCAUUCGCCAUCUCUCUCUCUCUCUUUUCUUUUUCUACUUUGUUGAUUGGUGUGUCUCUUUAUGUGUACCAAAGUAGGGUUAUAUAGAGAGAGUUCAAGGGACUUGAGUGUAUCUGUGACAAAAAAAAGGGACUUGAGUGUAUUAUAUAAUUAUCUUUAUUUAUUAGCCAUAGUGGUUGCCCAUAUUAAUUAUUCACUUUUUGUAAUCAUCGGUUGUUUCUUAAUUAUAAAUUAUAAACACAUAUUAAUACUGAAAUUUAUAACCACUAGCUACGUGAACUCAAUAGUUGUUGAACAUGUGAAUUCAGUGAGACUUGAUUUCCUUUUUCUUUUCUUUUUUUGUCACAAUGAGACUUGAUUUCCUAUUUUAUCCUAUAAUCAUACAAAACUAAUUAGUUUGGCUUUUCACUUUUGUUCUAUUAUAAUACAAAACUGUCCUUUUCCUCUACUUAAUUUUUUCAACCUUCAUUUAUUAAUUAGCCAUCCCCAUACAACUCCAUGCUCCACAAGCAAAGCAGAUAGAAAAGGAGGAGAUAUAAUAUGAAUUACGUACUAACUAAUUGAUUGAAUCGGAUUGAAAAAAAAAAUAGAAUAUUUACAUUAUUUUUUAAUGCUUGCGAUGAAUAUGAAUAUUGCACAUCACCGUCUAGAAUAUGACCAACUCUAUUAACUUACAACCAUGCUAAUCCCUAGGUGUAUACUAUAUGCUAUAUAUAGCCUAUUAUGUUAAAUUCGAAAGUUCAUUCACUAAUAAAAAAUUCUUGUUACCCUUCACUGCAAAAGCUUGUACGACCAUUUUUAUAGAUCCUCACAGCUUACUGACAUUUUACCUUCCAUGCGAAAUGUCAUUACCUAGUUGGAUUCAUAGUUCUCUUUAGAAACUUAUUGCUUCGUUUCUGCAGUUGUAACAAAAGUAGAACGAGAGAAAUGGACUAGCUAGUCACAAGUAUGUAUAUGCAUGGCCCAUUAAUGUACUGCAUCAUGGCAAAAUUAUUGGAUACAUAUUAUAUAAAAAUCUCUAAAGAUAGCCACAAAUAUAAAAUUUUAAUUAUCUGUAACCAUUAAUUAACCAAAAUAUAAUUCAGAUAAAGUUAUAGACUCUACAGUAUAGUCUUAUAAUAUAUAUAUAGCAAUAAUUGAAUAUAUUGUUGGAAAAUGGGGUUGAGGAUUAGAUAUUCGAUAGAGACAUUUGUGUGAUGUUAGCAUUUUUUUUUCUCAAAUCGGUAAUGCAUGCAUACUUUUAAAAGAGUAGUUACUCUUCAAAUCUCGAGUUGGAUAUGGUCUCCAACUCGAUCGGUAAGCUUUUUAUGAGUCGGGCUGCAGCAUGAUUGUCAUUCCAUGGUCAAACUCGAACAUUAUGAGAAGUCUUCUCAAAUAUGAAAGAUGUUUUAGUAGAUGCUCAACGAUCACAUGAACAAGAACUUACUAAAUCACUUGGAACUUUGGAAGAGUUUGAUUAUGAUUGAUGUCAUGAUAUUUAAGUUAUCUUUUAUAGAGAUACAUACAUCAUACAUACAAUAUGAUUAGUAUUCAAAAAAAUAAUAAAUGAUUAGUAUUCCGGUCUUUGGUCCAAGUGAUCUAUCUAUACGAGUUUUGAGCAUGUGUAGCCGUAAGCCGUUUUACGUCAUUUCGGACCGGAGCCUUGUUAACGUUUAUAAUUGUUAGAAUCGAAUCAUAAAAAUCUAUACAGUAAUACUGUAGAAUAAAACAUAUAAAGAAUUAAAUUAACAAAGAAAAUAUUAAUUAUACAACAAUAUUUUCUUUAAAAAUCUAAUCAAGUUUUAUCAUUAAAAUUGAUAAAUAACUUUUAGAUAAAAUAUUUAAAUUAUUCAAUGUAUUUUAUGCCUAUAAUCAAGUAAGGUAAAAUUUAAUCAAAAUUUUAAAAAUAUAUUUUAAAAUUGCAUUCAACCUAUAAUCGCCAAUCAAUCUAAUUACUCUAUUUUCUUUAACAGUUAACGUUUGUCUACAUUUUUGUCACAUAGGCAAACUCAUGUUUUAUAGUUAUAUUAUGAUGUUAUAGUAAUAGAUGAUGCCUUUGAUUUUGAAUUUUUUUUUUGCUGCCAUAAGCGAAUGUUCUUUUUCUUUAAACUGAGGCUGCACUGUUUCGGACAUGUUCUUGAUGCAAAAUUAAUGCGUUUAUCGAUGUUAAAAUGGGAUAUUUUGACGUCACUGAAUGUUCUAUAUCAUCAUCAGCCGCUCAUCCGUCGACCACUUUAUCACUUAUGUAAUAACACACUCCACAAAACAUUUGGUGAAUUUGGUUUAUAUGCAUUUAUGGUGGCACUGAGAGUUGCUUUUUGCUGGACGUUUACGAGUCUAGACCUAUCUUAUUCAGCAACUUCAAAUCGGUUGCCACUAUUUCAACUUAGUAUUCAUAAGGAAAAAAAAAUUAUAAGGAAAGAUGUCUCAUUUUCUUAUUUUCUAGUUUGUCGUAUUAAGCUAAAAUUUUAAAUACAUUUCAUCACAAUAUGCAUGUAGUACGAAAUUUUUAUAAUGCAAUUUACUAAAACACUGCUUUUCCAGAGCAAUAUAAAAAAGCUCAUACGUAUUAUUUCAGAAAAUUUAUAAUUACAAGAAUUUUAGUUUUUUUGUUUGCUUAAAAAUCUUGCAUUAAUAAUACUUCUGUUUUAGAUUGGUAUUGUAAUUCGUUUUGCAAUGACAAACAAUUCAUUAGUUUUCUAAUGCAUUUUUAAAAGUAUACUCAUAGUUUACUUAACUUGAAAGCAUACAAUAUUUUUUUCGAAGAUUCCUUGGUGUAUUAUGAAUGAAUUAAUUGAGAGCCAUUAAGUUUGACAUUUUAGGCACUUGCGUAAUCGCAUGCGCAUUUGCAAACCACUAAUAAAAACCAAGGAUCCCACUUUCUUGACCGAUGGCGGCUGUUGUCCAAUCCAUUCACUUCCACGCAUAAUGCUUUGUUGCCGAUGCUUCACUUAUCUUCAACACUCAUUAUGUAUAUGAUCCCCCACCCCAGUUUUUCUCUACAUCUAAAAGUAUGUGUUUUUUUCUAGAUGCUUAUGAGAGUACUGAUCCUCUUUCACUAAUAACAAUGUAUUUACUUUCUAAGAUUCCGAGCGUUUUGUUUAGUUUAAUUUGUAAAUAUGUAAUAAAAUUAUAAAACUAAUGAUUUUUGUUUUUAAAUACGAAGUUUUGUUUAGAAAGAUUGAAAUGCGAUAUUCUUGCAAUGAAUCUUGAUCAUAUAUUUGGAAUAGUGAAAGCGGGCGUGGAAUAAAGGUUGAUGAAUGAAAAAAAAUAGAACACAAAUUGCUAACUGACAUGUUAAAUUCUACCUAAAAACAUUUCAAAAAAAAAAGAAAAUCUAUCUAAACAAGAAAGGUUAUAAUCAUUUCCCUAGGUUUCGACGUUAAGUCCAUUGUUGUUUCCGAUAUCAAAAUAUGGGAUCGGUCUUGAGACAUGAAAAAACUACGGUAUAAAAACUGAAUGAUCCAUACAUAUAUACUCCCUCUGUUCUCAAAUGUAAAAUGUUUUGGGUAGUACACACUUAUUAAAAAAAAUAUUUUUUAUUUAGAAAGUAUCAUUGAAAUUAUAAACUAAAAACUAAUCAACCAAAUACAAAAUAAAACUAUUAAAUUUGAUUGGCUACACAUAAAAAUUAUUCUAAACAUCUUACAUUUCAGAACAGAGGGAAUAUAUGUUUGGAUAAUUUGGAAAUUGAAUGAUCCGUGUAUAUAUAUAUAUAUUAUUAAUCUGGGUACUGUUUUGGACAUGAAAAAAGGGUCCAGACUAAUCUGUAAGAGCAUCUCCAAUGUACACCUCUAUAUUUUCUUCUAAAACAGAGAUCUCUAUUAUAGAUGUGAAAAUGCUCCAAUGUAUGUUCCUUAUCUCCCCUUGGUCACCGGUGAGAGGGUUGGUCUCGGACAAGAGCCUGACACCGCGUGAGAAUUGUUCAUGGAAGUAACCAUUGUCCGCAGCCAUCUUGGCCACAAAAGGUGCCGUCCUCGGGUCGCUGGCUAGCUCAUCAUCGAUGACAAGGAGCCCUUUAUGAGCCAUGAUGUUCUUGUAAUACAUAUUGUCCACAACCAUGGGAGUCUCACGGUCAUUACGGGAAUAUAAGACUGCGUUCGGAUCCGGGUUUGGACUUGGGCAACGAUUUUUCAAGUAAAGGGCGUAAUCUGGGUCUAGAGUCGGGUCAAUCGUUGGGUAUAGCCGGUGCACUAGAUUAACGCAAUGGACCCUACCAACGGAGUGAGCACCUACGAUAAUAUAAGUUGACUGAUGAGUAAUAGUGACAGUCAUUUUUUGUAAAACUCAUUUCUUUUCUAAAAUCGUGAAAAAAAACAAAAACCAAAAUAUUCAUCCUGGUAGUGUUAGUUACCAUGCCCUGAAAAGUUUGUGUUGUUUUAUUCACAUAGCAAUAGCUUAACAUUUU
RNAcentral lists this long non-coding RNA (47772 nucleotides) under Brassica napus (rape). Its description in RNAcentral is "long non-coding RNA (BNAP_LNC002255)". Lineage: Eukaryota; Viridiplantae; Streptophyta; Magnoliopsida; Brassicales; Brassicaceae. The record is from RNAcentral.